RNAcentral lists this long non-coding RNA (54911 nucleotides) under Citrus x clementina. RNAcentral describes it as "Citrus clementina (C. clementina) long non-coding RNA (CCLE_LNC002390)". Lineage: Eukaryota; Viridiplantae; Streptophyta; Magnoliopsida; Sapindales; Rutaceae. The record is from RNAcentral.
AAAGAUUGAAACAGAUAAGGCUACACUGAGCACAGGAUGCCAUGAAACAUAAUCCAGGAACCAAAUUAAUAAAAAAGGAAGCCAAACCAUUAUUUAACAAUCUGUUUUGUAUUUGGGAAAGUCUGAUAAAAUCUACUUAGGGAUAAUUAGAGAACUUCAACUAUUAAUCACACCUCAUAAAUGAACUAACAUUAACCAUCUACCAUCCCCACGUCACACAAACAUUCUCUAUACUUCUGAACCUAAUACUUCCAUCUUCAAUUGGGGGGUUUUUUUCUUUUUUCUUUUUUUUGGGGGGGGGGGGGGGGGGGGGGGGAAGCUAUCAAUUUUCUAAGCUUGCUUAGCUUCUGUGUGGGAUUGAAAUGCUGAUUUCGAAUCACUAACAGUAAAAUUGGAAGCUCAUGAGAAAAUAGAGAAAGACCUAAUGUUGAGUCCUUUGGCGCAUGUCUCUUCAUAGGUCCGAACCAUUUCUUCGGGCGUGGGUUACGGCCGAGAUUGGAUAAUGAUGGAGGAGGAGAAAAUAGAUAAUGAUUGCACUAAUUUUCUAGAUGAAUUUUUUCCUACAUGCUUGUUCCCGAAUGACCCAAAAUCCUGCUACAUCAGUUGUAUUAGAAAUUAAUCAACUGGGUUACAAUUAUGCAUCCCCACCAAUAUUUAAGCAAUUUACAGAAACAUUUCUUGAGGAAAAAAACUCAUAUCGCCACUAGGCUUUUAAUGAGGCUCAUUUUUAUGAAUUUGGAUGGCAUUAGAUAUCUCUCCAAAUAUUGGUGGGAGUAGAUCGCAGAUCUCUGGGCUAUACUACAAAGUGUAUGUACGUUGACUCUCAAUAAAUACAAACGAUUCUCUGAUAUGAUUCAAAACAUCAGUACAUGCAUCAUUUUAAUGAGAAAGAAUAUUCUAAGAACGAAAUUGAAGGUGCAAUCAGCAGCUAAAAUGAAGCCAGAAAUGUACACGCAUGAGGAACUUUUCCUAGAAGAUUGAUAUUUCUUUGACUAGCAAACCACACACGUCAAAGCUAGCCAAACCAUACCUGCAUGUCGGGGGUUUAAAUGGAGUACUUCUAAGCAUAAAACAUUGAUUAAAACAGAAUACACACAUACAUACCAGCAAAUUCAAAAUAGCAAAAGGAGUGCAAAAGUUCAAGUUUGUAGACAACAUUGCAACCAUGGCAUGUUUAUAGCAAAUCCUCGAAAUCUGCUAAAUAAAACAAUGCCAUGUCUCAUGAAUCAAUGCUGAAUUAAAAUUGAAACUGAAAGUCUGGCUAGCGAUGUUUCCCUCUCCAAUUUUGCCUACAUAAGUGAAAAUAAGAAUAAUAAAUGAAAAUCUGCUUUGACAGUUCUUAUUAGAUAGAUAUAAAAAGAUCUUUCUUUGUUUCUCUGCAGCAAUCUGUGGCUAUCCCACUCUGUUUUGCCAGUCAAGCUGCGGCCUCAAUUAGUUUGGCACUUUUAUGACCUCCUUGAAGGUUUUACGAUAAACAUAAAUCUACUGACAAAGUGGGCAAAAAGAAAAUGUAUAUAAAAGUAUGAGUUAUCAGAUAAGAUUAAAACUCACCCAAUUCAAUCCAUCAGAUUCCGUAAGGAUAUAACUGGAUGUCAUACCGCCACUCUAUAUUCUUGAAAGUCCGUAGUGUUUGUCUCAACUGUGUCUGGGGCCAGUGUAAGUCCAAUUUGCGCAAGCUCUCUAUGCACCACAGCUCUUCUGGAAGCUUUCUCAAGUAAGCACAUGGGUUGACAAUUAAGCUUUCAAGUUUCGGCAUUGCUCCAGCCCCCAUCGUCCACUCAUCUAGCCAAUACAUUGAUUUCAGGUGCAAAACCUUAAGUUCGGGAAAGCUACUCAAGCCAACACAAGCAAGCUUUCUUCCUAAAUACGAGUUCUGCUUCAGUUUCAGCACUCGAAGGAGUGGAAGAUUUUCCAGAAUUGGCAUGGGAUCCUCCAUUAGCUCAGUAUUUGAUAAGCUCAGUUGGAUCAGACUUGGGGGAAAUUGGUAUUCAGACAGGACCAUCCGUGAGGGCUUGCUCUCAUUCACCAGCUUCAAGCAUUCAAGUUUGUGGAGUUCGCAAAGGCUUUUGGAAACCCCAGAUUGAUAGUAACUCAAAUCUCCAGAUAUCCGAAGAGUCUGAACACUAGGUAGUCUGCCCAAUAUAUCAGGAGUACAACUACUAGGGUUUAAAGCUGAUAUGAAAAUGAGAUUUUUCAGAGAGCUAGAAUAAUUUUUUGGAGGUGCGGGCAGAGUGAUAGAACCAAAGUUUAGAUGCAUGAGUUUUUGCAUCAUCCAAAUAUCCUCUGGUGACUGAUCUAUGUAGCUAGAUGGCAUUUCUAGUGUUUCAAGGUUUAAAAGGGUGCAUAGCAGUGAAGGAAGGCAUUUGGGCGAAGGGAUAUUCAAUUUCAAAUACUUCAAAAGGAAUGAAUUUUCUAAUCCGGGUGGAUAUUGGUCCAGGACUGCAGAACCCAUGUUCAAUACCCGAAGGUAUUUGAACCUUUUAAAAAAAUUCUCGCAAUCUUUCGAAUUAAGAUGAUUGCUUUUUGAACUGUGAUUCAGAAAAGAAGUUUCUGCAGAACCCAUGUUAGAAUGUUUCAAAGAAAAGAAGUCAAUCUGAUUACCCAAAAUGAUGUACCGUUUAACAUUUUCCGGUGGUUCAUCUUCCAUGUCAAGCAUCCAGACAAAUCCCGUCUUCUCUGCCACCAAUAACAAUGAAUAAUAUACAAUACUUGGAACAUAACACGCUUUAAUCGUGCCUCCGGCGCUUCUCUUACUCACUUGAAUGAAGCCGCGAUGGAUUAGUUCUUUCAAGUAAUGUUCGGCCGUCUCCUCACUGUUGUAUGGUAUGAAACCUUCAGCUACCCAUAACUGAUAUAAUUGCCUCGUGGAUAUCUCAAUACUUGGAGGGAAGACACACAAAUAGAUGCAGCAGACUUUCAAGUGAAAAGGUAACUCCAUCACAGAGAAAGUUUGUCUCCAUACUGUCGGAAUCGCUUCGCCUUGAAGAUAAUUUCCUAAUGGCAUACUUCCAUAGUGUAGGACGAAAAAUUGCCAGGCUUCAAGCUUUAAUCUGAUCAAUGGUCCUCCAAUGAGCACCGAAUCAAGCCGAAUCUUCUCUCCGUUUUCCAUUUUCAGCGACGUAAGGAGUUCUGGUUCAGUGACCAAUAUCAAUACUCUGCUUCCAUUCUCAUUAUCAGGGAGAACUUCUUCGAGAUCACUCCAUAUCUCACUGUAAUCGAAGACGUCAUCAAGCACAAUAAAGUACUUCUUGUUGGUUAGGUAAUCUCGAAGAACAGAUUUCUUCAAUUGAUAAUGUUCACCGAUAAUUACACUAACCCGAGAUGGAGGCAUCACAGACUUGAUUAUGUCAUCCAAUAUCCAUACUUUAUCGUAGGCUAUAGAAACCCUUACCCAAGCAUGACAGUCAAAAUAGAACUUGACACGGUUAUUAUUGUAAGUAUCUGCAGCAAAAGCAGUCUUAUCGAAGCCACUGCUGUCGAGAAUUGCAACCACUGAAAGCCCAGAUGGUCCCUCAAUCAAUAGAUCAAAAAACUUCUCUCUGCCCCUUUCAAAUUCACUGAUAUCGAGCCGAGGUUGUCCCUCACUCAAUAGGCGUAUGAUUUCGUUCCUUUUUUCACUGAUAUCAAAACCAUUGUCGCCGGGUGGAAGUUGUUGCAUCCGAUUUCUAAUAUCAAUGAUUUUAGUGUGGAGUCCAACAAGAAGAGCCAUAUCAGUACUGCUUUCACUUUCGUUUUCACUGUUUUGCUGCUGCAUGAUUUUGAUGAAGAAUGUGUCAAUGGCUUCCUCAGAUUCAUGGACAAAGUCAUUGAUGUCCUCCAGAAUUUCAAAAAUAUCUGCUGUUUCAACGUCUUCUUCAUCGCUUUCUUCUAAGUCCAACAGUUGCAAAAAAGGCAAUGAUAUUUUGGAGUCAUCUAAUUCUUCUCUAAGGAGUUGAAACAAAUGCCGAGCCAUGUCAGCUUCAUAGUUUCCCAGCAGAGUAGUAGCAAUAAUUUCGGACUCCGUAAGAAGGUUUUGAAAACGUGGAGUUAAAUUUGUUGAAUCUGGCAAAGUUAACGUGCCUUCUUCACCUGCUAACACCCUUUUCAACCUCUCACAAAACAGUCGGAGGUGGAAUUCCAGCAUAUCUCCUUCUCUCCGUAGCACUCAGAGGUAUAGCUGAAAGAUUAAACACCAUGGAAGAAUUUGAAAGGAAAAUGCCAAGAAAUUGUGUAAGUGGCUAAAUUCCACAAAUAUGACAUUAUUGCUCAUUUUUUAACUCAAAAAAAGGGUACGCGUUCAUUUAGAGAAAAGUCCAAGACGCGUGCUUUUUGAAAAGAACAGGUAUCCCAAUCGGUAUCCAACCUUUAUCUUAUUUAAUUACUACCAUGACAUAAUUGAUGGUGCUUAAAUCAAUUGUUUCUUUUUUAAUUUAAAGAAUUUUUCAUUAAAAAAAUAUUUUAAUAUCAAAUUGCCUUCAGUGGCGUAACAACUGCCUGAAGCCCAGUAACAGGACUAAUUAAAAAUUUUACAAUUUUUGGGCAUGGAAAUAGUAGUAUUAAACAUUAGAAAGGUGAGGUUGUUCUGUUAAAGAAUUGAUAUUGACAUAAUUUUAUUUUGGUUUUCGUGGAAAACAAAAAUAUUUGUUGACAAGCAAGAAAAUAUUUUUAUUUUUUAAAAUUUAUUAUGCAUAUUUUAUCAUAUUGAAGUAAUUUUAAUAAUAAAUAGAAACAUAAUAUUACAAUAAAUAAAUUAAAAUUUAACUUAUUUUGAAUAUUAUAAAAAAUAAUUUUAAUAUUAUUAAUAGGAAGACAUUGUAUUAAUUUUAAAAUUUUUUAACCCAAAGGUUUAUUUAAAAUCUUUAUUAUAAAUACAAAUAUAAAAUUAAAUAUCAUAAUUUAAAAUUUUUAAUAUUAUUUUAAGUAUUAAAAAUAUUUUAAUGUUAUUAGUCUACUACAUAGAUCAUAUUACUUAUAUAAUAUUUGUAUUAUUAAAAAUUUUUAAAAUCAAAUUUUUAGUUAGUAUAUUCAUGAGGUAUUAUGGUUACAAAAAAAAGACCUUAUUAUUACUUUUUAAAAAAUUGAGGGUCUGCGAUGAUAAUUUUUUCAAAAAGAAAAUACAUGGUAUGUAGGAGGGGUAGAGAAACAGGACUUCCAAAAUCUCUCACCCUUCUUUAAUUAAAAAAAAAAUUAAAAUAUUAAUAAAAAAUAAUAAAGAAAAUAGAAUUUUAUCUGCUCCUUACUCCAUUUUUGCAACUCUCUCAACAUCUCUGUCGAGCAGCCUUCUCUCUCAUUGUCUCUCACUAUUUCACGAUCUCUCUCUCACUCACACAGGCAAUGACCAUCUCAUCAUCGGCGGUCGUGUCGUCAGUGUCACUGGUCUUGCUCGACCGAGACAGUGAGAGAGAGGUUUCUUAGAUGGAGUGAUGAUAAAGGAUUCUAUUUUUUUUAUUAAUAUUUUAAUUUUUAAAAUUAAAAUGUGCUGCCGUUUCUCUUGUCUUUUUAGCUGUUUAGCAGCACUCUUUUCAAAAUUUAAGAAUGUAGGUGUCCUAUAAGAGAUCGAUAAAAGAACGUCAAUUAAAUUUAUAAAAAUAUGAUAAAAGAACGUCAAUUACUUGUCUUUUAGGGAAUCCAAUGAGAAAUAUGAUAAAAGAACGUCAAUUACUUGUCAUUUUCAAUUUUUUUCUGUAAGCUAUUUAUUUUGAGCAUUAGUGAUCUUGUCUGGACUACUCCAAUUAUUGACGUAACUCCAGUGGCUGCAAUUAAUGAUAUAAAGCUGAGACUUUUGACCAAGUUAUCUAGUUGGGAAAGCAAAUUUUUUUCCAGUGGGGGUAAAGAAGUGUUGAUUAAAGCUGUUGCUCAGGCUGUGCCAGCCUAUGCAAUGAGUGUUUUUAAGAUCCCUCAUAGCUUUUGUGAUGACAUUGAGAAGGCUAUUACUCGUUUCUGGUGGGGUUCCUCUGAAACAAAAAGAAGCAUUCACUGGACAAGGUGGGAACAGUUGUGCCACGCCAAGAUAAGGGGGGGAUUGGGUUUUAGAGAUUUCUCUAGUUUUAACCAAGCCUUAAUUGCUAAGCAGGGGUGGAGAAUUCUGCAGCACCCUGACUCUUUAAUGGCAAAGAUUCUGAAAGCAAAAUAUUUUAAGCAUACUGGUUUUAUGGAUGCGAAAUUGGGUUCACACCCCUCUUUUGUUUGGAGAAGUAUAUUAUGGGGUAGGCAAGUGCUCCAUAACGGCCUAAGAUGGAGAAUCGGCAGUGGGAGUCAAGUUUUAAUUUCCAGUAGCAAUUGGAUAAAAAACCAUAAGCUUCCCAGUUUGGUUCCAUAUUCAGAUCUACCUCCUGAAACUGUAGUUGCUGACCUUAUUGAUGAAAGUCACCAAUGGAAAGAAGAUAUGGUUUUCCAAUAUUUUCCAAUGGAUGUUGCAAAGAGGAUCACCAGAACCCCUCUCCCAAAAACUCCCCAGCAGGAUCUUCUCAUUUGGAAAUAUGAUAAGCACGGAAUUUACUCGGUGAAGAGUGGGUAUCAAUUGGCUGUUAAGCAAAAAUUCCAAAAUUAUCCAAGUUGUUCAGAUGUUACCAAGUCAAGGUGGGAGGUGAUAUGGGCUACGGAUCUUCUAGGAAAAGUCAAGAUUUUUAUUUGGAGGGCUGCUCAAAAUCUUCUCCCUGACUUUUCUUGCAGCCCUCUAGUAUUCAGGGCAGCCUUAACUUCAUCCAAUGAUAAAGUCUGUCUCCCAUACAUGAGUGCAUCCACAAAGUUUGAAUAUGAGGAUGGAAGUGAACUAACCAGAAGCAAUGCUUUACCUUCAUCAUCUAAACCUUCAUCAAUUAUUUCCAAUGUAUCACAGACCUGAUUGAAUUCAUCAAUGUGGUCUUCGAGAGAUGACCCUUCAGCCAUCUUUAGUGUGAACAUUCUUUUCUUGAUGUAAAGUCUGUUGGCUAAUGAUUUAGUCAUAUACACCCUUUCAAGCUUUGCCCACAGAUCAGCCACUGUUCUUUCUCUUGCAACUUCCCUGAUCACCGAGUCUCCAAGACUCAAGAUUAUGGUACUCCUUGCCUUUUUGUCAAUCUCAGCAGCUUGUUGUGGUGUUAGUGAUGAUGAAGAUGUGGAGGCUUCUAAUCCUUCUUUCUUGAUGAUAGGUUCUAAGGCAUCACCUAGCCCUUGAGUGAUCAGUAAUGCCUCCAUUUUAACCUUCCACAUGUUGAAGUCAUUCUUCCCUGUAAACUUCUCUAGAUCGAUCUUUGAACCAACCAUACUUGUGUCUGAUUUGUAAUCCAAGCUCUGAUACCAAUUGUAGUGUUUAAGAGUGACUAACUAUCCCAAUCAACUCAAAACACUUCCCAAGAUCACACCCAAACAAACAAGAUGUACCAAGAAUCAAUCCAGUAGAAUACACACAGAUUAUUAGAACUGAAAGAAUUAAAGAAAAGGACAAGAAUUAACGUGGUUCAGCUAGCUUCAGUCUAGCUUACAUCCACGGGAGAAACAGAACCCAAUUGUAUUGAUUGUUUAAAGGAGUUACAGAGAGUUCAUCAAGCUUGUUACAGAGUCUCUCAAGAAGCCUUUUGUUAUUAAUCUUCUCAACUCACAAUAGCUCUCUCUUCUUUUUUCUCUGUUGCCAGAAUCAGCUGUAUAUAACAGCUUGUUAACGAAUCAGCAACCAACCCAGGAACCCACGUGACAGUCAUGUGAGUUAACUGAUUCUAACGAACCAAGAACGCAACUUAUCCAUGCACGUGAAACUCUCGUGCAUCACUUAACCAAAACGACCUUCAUACAUGUCGUUCCAGGAGAUACGAGUUUGACUUUCCAAAACGCAGCAUCAGCUGACGUUUUCACAAACAGAUUUGCUUCACAUCACAACAUUGGGGGUAGUCAUUAGAAACUCUGUGGGUAAGGUUGUUGCUGCAGCAGUCCAAGGAGCUCCAUAUAGGGGAGAUGUGGCGUGUAUGGAGGUUGAAGCUGUUCUGUUUGGUAUUCAGAGUGCCCAACAAGCAGCUGUUUUCCCAAUAAUUAUUGAGUCGGAUUCAAAGGAAGUGGUGGAUCUAUCCUUAAAGAAAAAGAUCAGCAAGACUGAAAUUGAGUGGAAAAUUGCAGAAAUCCAAGCAAAUCUGGAAAAUCAGAAUGUGUCCUCGCUGUCAUAUGUCCCUAGAAGCUGUAACUCUAUUGCUCAUUCUAUUGCAAAGAUAGCUCUAGGUUUUGAAAGUCAAGUCUUUUGGCUGGAAAACUUUCCAGAACAUAUCAGGUGUACUCUUGCUAAGUUCAUCAAUUGAAAAGCUUUACUUUGCUCAUCAAAAAAAAAAAAAAAAAAAAAACUCCAGUGGCUGCAUCCACUGGAAAAAGUGGAUGAGAACCAUUUUUUUUUCAUAAAGGUAACUACUCACAUAAUUGAUGGUGCUUAAAUCAAUUUUUUCUUUCUUUUUUUUUUAAUUUAAAGAAUUUUGCUUUAAAAAAUAAUUAAUAUCAAAAUGCCUUCAAUGUUGUUACCCUCACAAGCCCAGUUAGAGGACUCAUUAAAAAUUUUAGAAUUUUUAGGCCUGGAAAGCGUAGUAUUAAACAUCAGAAAGCAAAGGUUUUUAUGUCGAAGAAUUGAUGUCGACAAAAUUUUAUUUUAGUUUUCGGGAAAAAAAAUAAUUUGUUGACAAGCAAGAAAAUAUUUUUUAUACUUUACAAUCUGCUAUACAUAUUUUAUCAUAUUAAAGUAAUUUUAAUAAUAUAUGGAAACAUAAUAUUAUAAUAAAUAAAUUAAAAUUACUUUGAAUUAUUAAAUAUUACAAAAAGAUAAUUUUAAUAUUAUUAAUAGGAAAACAUUUUUUAAUUGUAAAAUCUUUUUAAUACAAAAAAUCAUUUAAAAUCUUUAUAAUAAAUACAAAUAUAAAAUUAAAAAAUAUCAUAAUUAAAAUUUUUAAUAAUAUUUAAAUAUUAAAAAUACUUUAAUAUUAUUAAUCUACUACAUAAAAUAUAUUAUUUGUAUUAUACUCGUAUUGAUUAAAACGUUUUAAAGUCAAAUUUUUAAUUAGUGUAUUCAAAGGUAUAAAAGAUUUUAGUAUUAUUUUUUAAAAAUUUCAGGAUAUGAAUGAUAAUUUUUUCAAAUUUUAAAGAUGUAAGAAUCUUUUUUUCUGAUAAUUUAUUUCACUUUUAAGAGAAUCCGAAAACGUUAAUUUAACAUUCUUUACCUUUGUAUAAAAAGUGAAAAUCAAGAACUAUUCAAUUUUGUUUUUAUUUGUAAUUCAAAAACGUUAUUCAUUUUCGAUGCUUUUCAAAAGAGAUUCCUUUAAAUCCUUUUGGUGGCUGCAGCUCCUGCAAUUUUCAUAAAUCUCCAUCCCACAUCAACACUAUCAAACAAGUUGAUGGAAAUUCUUAUCAAAAUUCCACAAAUAUGACGUUAUUGCUCAUUUUUCUCUCAAGACGCGUGCCUCCUGAAAAGAGAUACAUUGAAUAAGUCAAUUGAUUACAUUGUGGGUAAUUAAUUUAGAAGUGAAGCAGAGAAUAAAGUCCUAGAUGCCUUUAGAAAUUAGAAAUACAUUUUAUAUGCUUUAAUUAAUGAAUUCACUGAGGCAUUAUUGAUCCAAUCCCAGUGAAGUAAUUGUGGGUGAAAAAAAAAAAUAAAGUGCUGAAUUGGCUAUUAAAAAAGAGUGUCACUUGAUCACAAUCACAUUGAUCCACAACUCACUCGAGGCAAAUUUCAUCUAUGUGUACUGCAAAUUUAGCCAAACCAUGCAUGCAUGAACAAAAUUAGGCCGUAGUCCUCAUCACAACAUUAAUUGAAGCCACAAAAGCCAGCAAAUCCAAACGAAAACUUAAAAGGAAGUCUUUUAACUAUUGGAAACAUUAAUCAUUUUACAAUCUAUUACAUAAUAAAGAUAAAUUUUAUAAUAAGUUAAGUUAGAACUAGGGAAGGCAAAUUUUCCCGAUGGGAUGGGAUCCUGCGGGAUCCCAUCCCAUUUGGGACGGGAUUGAGACAUAUUUUUGUCCCAUAAAAAAAUUUAGGACGGAAUUGGGAUUUUUUUUAUCCCAAUUACAUAUGCGGGACAUGAGUGGGAUUGACAAAUUCCGUCCCAUCCCAUCUCAUUACCGAUUAAUAAUGGAAAUUUUUCCAAUUGGGAUGGGAUCCCGCGGGAUCCCAUCUCUUUUAGGACGGGAUUGGGACAUAUUUUUGUCCCAAAAAAAUAUAAGGACGGGAUUAUGACAUUUUUUCAUCCCAUUUGCAUAUACGGGAUGGGACUGGGAUUGGUAAAUCCCAUCCCAUCCCAUCCCAUUGCCAACCCUAGUUAAAACAUAUCAAAUAUUUUCAACAUAUAUAAUUAUUUAAGAAGUCUUUUAACAAUAUUUUUUUUUCUUUUUCAGUUAAUCAUGUCAUAUACCGUUAUCUAAAACGCUGGCGAUAUUAUUAUUCCUCACUUUUCUCAAAAAAAAAAAAGAAAAAAAAAAGAAACAUGAUUAACGUUUAGAGAAAAGUCAUGCCUUUUAAAAAGAAUAUGUAUACAAUAGCAAUCCAUACUUUAUAAAAUUGAUGGCGAUUACAAAGAAAAAUUGUUUAAAAUAGAUUUGAUGCACAAAUAUGAUGACUUUUGGCAAAAAUUAGUUUCGGAAAUGUUGAGAUGAAAACCAUAUUAAUUGAGAAUUAAAAUUAUUUAACUACCAUCUAAUAGAUGAAAACCAUAUCAAUUGGGACUUAAAUUAAAAUUUAAAUAUUGAAAUAUCUAGCAUUACUCACAAUAACCAAUUCAAAUUAUGACUAUCAUGUAGAAGCAAAUGUUUAUGCGUGGGUUUUUUACUUCUUGAAUUUGAUUGGAAAAAUUUCUAAGAUAGAGAAGUGUUUUGGAUAAGCUUUUCGGGAUUGAAACCACAAAUUGGUAGAGGAAAUUAAUUUUGGACAAAUUUUUCUUAUAUUGUAGGACCUUCUAGUUGGAGUAGUGAUGGCUUUGUCUUCAUUUUUGGUUCCUUUUGUGUCGGCAGCCCCUUACUAUUCUCUUGACCCUGAGUUUGAGAUAGAAAUUUAUCAACCUCCAACCCCACAUCCACAAACAAGUUGAUUGAAACAAUUGCUCUUUUAAUUAAGAGGACCCAAAUGAUUUAGGUUUCAGUUCUUAUCAUUUGUCUAUUAUUUCUUUGAAACAUUUAUUUUGAGCGUUACUGAUCUUAAUUAUCUGUAUUUCUCCAAUUAUUGAAGAAUUUCAAGUGGCCACUUUUUCUCCUUUUUAUAUAUGUUUAUUUUUUGGAGUGAUCAAACGGGUGCAAAAUCAAGUAUUCGCUGGUCCGUAGUUUAGCCAACUAUGGCUGAUCCACACAGUUGAUUAUAUGAUACUAUUAGCUCUCAAAAUCUUUCUUAUUUGAGAACAUAAAUUGCCCAUUAAAGUUAAACUAUGUUACCCAGCUCCAUGCACAUACAUUAAAUGUUUAGGUAGUUUUACAAAAUGAUAACAGCAUGCCAAAACUUGAUGUUGUCAUAUUCGACAUUUCAAAUUGAAAAAUACGCAAGCAAUCUUCAGUGAACAUUACGUGUUUAUUGAAUAAUUUAAAUGGCCAGUAAAUCAACAGUCCGUGAGUUUUAAAUCUAUUAUGACUUAAUGUAUCUUUCUGUAUUUGUACACAUAUUAUAUUAUCAUAGUUUAAAAUUUUAAUAUUAUUUUAAAUGUUAAAAAUACUUUAAUGCUAUUAGUCUACUACACAGGUUAUAUUAUUUAUAUUAUAUUUGUAUUAAUUAAAACUUUUAAUGUCAAUUUUCUAAUUACUAUAUUAAUAAAGUAUUAUGGUUAAGAAAAAGUUUUGGCAUUUCUUCUUGAAAAUUUGAGGGUCUGCAUGACAAUUUUUCCAUAUUCUAAGGGUAUAAGUUUGAAAAUUUAACAUUCUCUAAAUUGAUGAAACAAAAAGGGGAAACCAAGAACUAUUCAAUUUUGUAUUUUUUGUUUGUAAUUCAAAAAAUGCAUCCACCAAACAAGUUUUACGCAUUAAUGCUGUCAUAAAACGAAAAACAAUUUGCCAAAAAAGGGUACCAAACAUAUCCUUAAUGUCUCACAUGAUUUCUUAGUAAGCCCGUAUUAGAUAUAUUUAUACAUUUUAGGUAUUUUAGUUAUAAAAGAAGUUGGCCCUCCCUUGUUUAUAAAAAAUAACUUUAUUCAUGCACAUAUGCCAAAAGAAUAAAUAGACAGAAAGUAAAUUUACAGUCCUCACUUCCUCACAAUUGUUAACGUGAAGAUGCAUUACAACUGUGAACUGUCACUACUUUAGCCUUUUUUUUUAAAAAAAAAAAUUAUAGUGUGAUGGAGACAUUAAGGAUGAGCAUAACAGUUAAAGAUGACUCAUUUUCUUUUUAAAGUGCUCUGCUGAAAGCCGAACUUCCUUUGGCUAAUUAAUUUAGAAGUAAAGCAGAGAAUAAAGUCCUAGACGCCUUCUGAAAUAAGAAAUACAUUUUAUAUGCUUUAAUUAUGAUUAUUUGGUAGACUAAAGACCUAAAAGAUAUGUCAAAAGUAUAAAACAGAGCGAUUAAAGAAAAAAGAAAAAAAACAGAGUAUUUGUGACGUAGAAUAACAAUUGGUAAAUAAAUCCUAAAUAUUUGAGUUGUUAAAAGCAAAUAUAACAGAGACGGUAAGAGAGAUGCAGAAACAGAAAACUAUUAGCUUAUCUUGAUUUUUCCACUAUAUUCAUUUUCAAUGCUUUUCAAACGAGAUUCUUUUAAUUCUUCUGGUGUCUGCAGCCCCGGCUAUUCUUAUAAAUCUCCAUCCCACAUCUGCACUACGAACAAGUUGACUGAAAUUAAAUAAUGUUGGAGAUGAAGGGUGAGCCGUCAACUUGUUAAAAAAAAACUCAUGUAUAAUAUUAUCAAUAAUAUAAAAUAUAUAAUAAUUAUUACAAAGAAUCAUAAAUUAGAAAAAUUAAUUAUUUUACAAUCUAUUUCUUAAGUAAGGUGGCGUUUGUUUUUUCAUCUGAAAUCUGAAUAGACCUGAAUUAAUCUGAAUUCUGAAUAGAUCUGAAUGUCUGAAUCUGAAUAAUAUGUUUGUUUUUUUGUUUGAAUCUUGGAAAAUAAGUAUUAAGUUGUUUGUUUUUUUCAACUUAAAAAGCUGAAAAUAUGUACUUUUACAUUUAUAUCCUUAUUAAAUUUGAAUGUCAAAUAAAUAAUAAAUUAAAUACCACAAUAUUUUAACAUUUAUAAGUAAAACUAUAUUCAAGUGAAUACAUAAUUAUUUUGGAAUUUUAAUAGAUAAAAUACUAAAAAUUUUAAAUUUUAUCGUAUAUAAUAUAAGAAAGAAAAAAUAGGAAAAUUUUCAUGUGGGGUAAAUGUUUAUGGGUGAGUUUUGGGAUAGACAUGAAAAAUAAAUUAUAAAGCAGGGAUAUUUUUGAUAUUAGCAAGUAAUUGACUUAAUUCAGAUUUCUCCAUUAAGUAAAAAGCCAAAAGAAUUGGCUUAUUUUAUUAAGUCAAAAUUAUCUAAAAAGUCUCAUUAAGUUAUAAAAACAAACACCUCUAAUUAACUUAAUUAAUUAAGUUAAGUCACUUUAAGUCAUUAAGUUAAAAAACAAACGCCACCUAAGAUAAAUCUUGUAAUAAGUUAAGUUAUAACGUAAAAAAUAUUUUCAAUUUAUAAUCAUUUAAGAAGUCAUUUAAUAAUAAAAUCUUUUUUUUUUAUCAGUAGGCCAUGCUACAGAGUAUCAUCUAUAUUCGUGGUGAUAUUAUUAUUACUCAGUAUCCUCAAAAAACACGAUUUAACAUUUAGAGAAAAUUCCUGCCUUUUAAAAAGAACAUGUAUGCAAUAGCUAGCCAUACUUUAUUUUACCACGACAAAAUUGAUGGUGAUUAAAUCAAUUUUCUCAAUUAAAGCAAAAUUUUUUAAAAUUGAUUUAAUGCACAAAUAUGAUGAUUUUUUGUAAAAAUUAGUUUUGGAAAAUAUAGUGAGAGAAAAUGGUGACGAUUAUUUUUCAAAUGUGCAAAUAGCCUAAACAUAAUCUCUAAUACCAAUAUCCAUGUGCAUCUUAACACCUUUCAUGAUAUUCUUUCAUUCAUGGCCAUUUGUUCAAGAUUUGAAUUUGAUUAUUAAAUUAUGUUCAAUAAUGUUAGAGAUCCCAACAAUUGAGUACCAACUUAAAUCCCAAUGCUAUGUGUCAUUAACAAAUGUUGUGUCAUUUAUAAUUAUUGAAUGAAUAAUUCGUUAAUUUAUUGAUAAAUGAAAAUUUAUUAAUUUAAAGAGAGAUAUUUUUUUUUGGUUUUAAGAAGAGUUUUGUUGGUACAUGUACAUACUUAUAAAGAAAUAAACUUGUAAUUAUACUAUAUCUUUCUUUCUUUGUUCAGUUUGGUGGGAUAUUGUGAUAAAUCAUUGGAUUAAAAUGCAUUUCUAAAUUGAAACUUGUUAAAAUCUAAUUUAUUUGGGAAACACAUGUUAUUUGUCAGUCGUACUUCUCAACUUAGCAAGUUAUUUCUAACUUGUCAGUCUCUAUUGGUUCUCUUAAAGUUAAUAGUCUCGAAUCUCCCGCAUUUGAUAUCUUGCCAUUACUCUUGGCAUUAACAUGUUACCUGAGAUUGGGAUUCAUUAAAAUCCUCAAUGUAAUCGGUGGAACGAAUGGAUUUCUUCUGUUCACCAAUCCACCAAAAUUUCUGUAAUUAAAUUCAAAAGUCAAGAUCUAUGCUUAUAAUCUAUUCAACAGUUAAUAUUCUAUUUUAUAUUUACUUAAAUAUGAAGAGCUAUGCUUGUCAUUAACUUCAAAUGUGAUCGAAGCAGCCUUACAUCUGUAUAUUACUUAUUCCCAACCUUUUUUUUGACUUCAUAUACUUUCUUUUCAUGUUAUUUACUCUUUUUUCCCCCCUCUCUAAUGGGGUCAAACUUGAAAGUAUCUUAAAAUCAGACAAUAAUUUUUUUUUUAUGAUAGAUGCUAAUAUGCUCUAUUAGGCAAUGAUAAGUAAUAACCUAGUUGUUUGCAUUAGAAAUGAUAUUUUUUGUGGUGCUGAUAAAGUGGUUGAGUAUGAUUCAACAAUUUAAAAUAUGAAAACAUGUGGAAGACGGCUGCAAAUAAAUUGAUUGUAUGAAAAUAUUUCAAUGAAAUUUUAAAAAUUUAAUACUUGUUAUCUUAUCGAGAGUUCCCAAAUAAUUGGGCUAGUUUAAUUACCGGCCUAAUUAUUGUAGCCACUAUUGUAUGUUCCCAAAUGAUCCCCGGGUUAGCUCAUUUAAUUGACUGCACCACUACUGGACUAAUAAGUAAGAUAACUAGCUAUUUGGGUCAAAAGCCUAAAUAUAUCAUUUAGUGGGAGGCUCCAUUUAAUUAGCUUUUGUAUAAGGGGCCUUAUGUUAUUUUACAAGGUGGGUCCCCUAUUGAAAAAGAAAAUAACGUGAGUUUUAUUUAGGGCAUUAUUUGGAGCCUAGGGUUUUCACUAAAGGGAGAUAUAUAAGGCUUAUUUUCUCUAAAGAAAAAAGAAAAGCCACUUUAUACAGAUCAGAGAAUAAGAUUUUUCUCUCCAUUGUUGAGAGAAAAAUUUUCUCGUGCUAGUUGCUUUGGUAGUGAUAAAGGCGCCCACACGUCAAGUGCAGAUCGAACCUGAGUCAUAACCUGGAAGAUCAUUGGUGACAGUUCAUGAUCUAACAAGCGUGGUGGUGACGGUUCGUGAUCUAACAAGCGUGGUGGUGACGGAUCGUGAUAUAACAAGAGUGGUGGUGGCGGAUCGUGAUCUAGGAGCCUAAAUCACUUCAGCGGAAAAAGCCAACUCGGAUUUUCAAGGUACGAUUUCUAGAAUACGAAUUCUUAUAUAUUAUAUGAGAGCGAUCUUCAAAAGGUUUUAUAAAAAUUUAAAAGCAGCAUGUGCUGCUGGCAGCUCGCUGCUGCGUAUGUAGCAACUGCAGCGCGCGAGCAGCAGCUGCAGUGCCCAAGCAGCAGCGUGAACGUGGGCUGGAGGCGCAGAGCGUUCUGGUUGGCGUCUUUCCGGCGUCGAUGACGGCUGUCCGGUGUGGAAACAGUAAACAACGGCUGGGUUUUUGUGCUGGUGGCGGCUGGGGAAGAAGAGGAAAAGAAAAAUGUGAUUUUAGGGUUCCAUGGUUUUUAUCGUGGAGGUCCCUAUAGCUUCAUAUUUUUCAGUUGGGCAGAAACGUUUUUUAAUUUUUUGCAUUUAAGUCCAAAAACCGUUUUGGGCUUAAAGAAUCCUAGUUUUAGGCCCAAUUUCAAUUGGGCUUAAUGGAUUAAAAAAAUGCAUAGACAAAAUUAAAUACAUUAAAUUUAUUUUUGGUCCAAAAGUUUUAUUUUAAUAAAAAAAAUUAAUUAUUUAUUUAUUUCCUUUCAAAAUUAAAAUUGGACCAAUUAUAAAUUUAAAAGCCCAAUUUCCCCUAGUCCAUUAACAAAAACAAGCUUAUGGAAGAUGGACAUUGACAAGAAGCCCAAUGAAGAUUAGGCAUAGGGUUAAUGUAUUUUUCAUUAUUAGGAAAGGCAUGAAUUAAGAUUAUUUAAUUGUUUUUCUAUAUGUUAUGUUUUGGAUGAUAACAUGCCAUGAUAACAUGUAAUAUAGAAUAGGUAGUGCCACUCUAUGCAUAAUGAUACAUGUCAUUCAUUAAUUAUGAAUUUCAUUAUAUUGUUUGAAAUUUGCGCAUGCUUAAUAAUAUUUGAUAUCAUCUAGAUAAUAUUAUAGGAAGCAUGCAAUUAACAAUAUGUAUGUUUUAAAAAGGAAAAACCAAUUUUAAAAUAUUGAGUGGGAGAGGGAAAAUUCAAGAUAAUUUUCCCACGGGCUCCAUUGUUAGUUCAAUAAUAAAAUUAUAUAUAUACCUCGACUUCAUGAUACAGUGAUGCUCAUUACGGAGGGUAUAUAUAUUAGAUAGUUUAUUUGAUGAACUUCUUCAAAGAUAAAAUUGAAAUAUUUUUCAAUCGAUUGUUCACCCCAACGGUGACUAUUGAUAUGAAAAAUACGUAGAUUGAAACAAUGGUUAUACACUCAACUAAAGUUUGUUAUUAAUCUUCCCAACGAAGCUCUGUUAACAAAUUUAGGCCCAAAAAGAUAACGAUAAUUAUUUAUCAUGUCUCUACAUGAAAGUAAAUAAUCCAAUGGGUAAUUGGGUCUAGUAAGUAUAGACAUGACUUCCCCACCGGAUAGCUUGUCAAAGCAGUACUAGAUUAUCGUUACAAUAAAUUAAAAUGCAUUUAUGGUUUUUUGCAUUUUUUUCAUUUAUUGUGAAUAUUGAUUCAAAUUAUUUAUGCAUGGAUGUUUUUAUUUUUCAGAAAAUGUCUUCCCUGAGCCCACUUACUAUUAUUCUGAGUCAAAACAAACUCACUGGAGAGAACUAUAUAGAUUGGAAAAGAAAUCUAUUCAUUGUCCUGACUGCUGAAAAUUAUAAAUAUGUCUUAACCCAGCCAUGCCCCCCAGUUCCAGCGGAUGAUGCUCAUAGAAAUCAGAGGAGGCUUUAUGAGAAAUGGCAAAAGGCCAAUGAAAUGGCAAAGUGCUACAUUUUAGCCUCGAUUUCUAAUAUUCUGCAGACCAAACAUCAGAACUUGGAGACUGCCACUGAAAUAAUGAAUAGUCUCCAACAGAUGUUCGGGCAGAGUACUCGCUCUGCGAGACAAGCAGCGCUGAAAGGAAUUAUGAACAGUAAAAUGGGGAAGGGCACAAGAGUUCGUGAUCAUGUCCUCAAAAUGAUGGACUAUUUGAAUGAGGCUGAGAUUCAGGGAGCACAAAUCGAUGAUAACUCAAAGAUUGACAUGGUGCUAGAAUCUCUGCCAGAAACAUUCAAGGAGUUUAAGGUCAAUUAUAACAUGAACAAAAGAAAUAUGACCUUAACUGAAUUGAUGAAUGAACUCCAUUCUGCUGAAGAGAUCUAUCGUGCUGAGAAAUCUCUGGGAAGCAUAAAUUUUACUGAAAAAAGUUCAUCUUCUGGGCCUAAACCGAAAGGCAAAGGUAAGAAGAAAGCUGGGAAAAAAAGACCGUCUACCAAGCAAGAUGGCAAGCCGAAAGGCAAAUGCUUCAAGUGUGGACAGAAAGGUCACUGGAAAAAGGAUUGCCCUAAGAUUGUGAAAUCAGGUAUGGGAAAUCUUUUUUGUAAUUGAGGCCUGUUUAGUUCAGAAUCCUAUUGACACUUGGGUGUUGGAUUCAGGAGCAACUAAUCAUAUUUGUAAUUCACUUUAUUGGUUUCAGGAAACCAGGAAAAUAAGUGAAAGAAGCGUCAAGCUGCAGUUAGGGACAGGACAGUUCGUGUCAGCAGUAAAGACUGGAUCUGUUUUAUUAUCUUUUAAUAAUGAGACUUUAGUUUUGAAUAAUUGUCUUUAUGUUCUAGACAUUAAGAGGAAUUUAAUUUCAGUAGCUUGUUUGUCAAAGCAAGGGUACACUGUAAAUUUUGGAUCCUCUGUUUCUAUUUUUCAUAAUAAGAGACUUAUUUGUUCUGGUACAUUGGAAGAUAAUUUAUAUCAUUUAAGUCCAAUGAUCCAUUCUAUGCAUGACACAGUGAUAAAUAAUAAUGAGCAUACACAUUUAUCUAAGAAAAGAAAUAUUUCUUCCAACCAAUGUUACCUCUGGCAUUUAUGCUUGGGUCAUAUAAACCAAAAUAGGAUACAAAGAAUGAUCAAAGAUGGGCUCUUGGGUCCAUUAGAAAAUGAAUCAUUGCCACUCUGUGAAUCCUGUUUAGAAGGGAAAAUGACCAAAAGGCCAUUCUCGGCCAAAGGAGUACGUGCAACAGUACCACUUGAAUUGGUACAUACAGAUGUAUGUGGACCAAUCAAUGUACAAGCUCGAGGAGGUUAUGAGUAUUUCAUCACUUUUACUAAUGAUUACUCAAGAUACGGUUAUGUUUAUCUGAUGCGUCAUAAGUCUGAAGCUCUUGAGAAAUUCAAAGAGUAUAGGGCUGAGACAGAAAAGCAAUUAGAUAAGAACAUAAAGAAACUUCGAUCUGAUCGAGGUGGUGAAUUUCUCUCAGGAGAUUUCAAAGAGUAUCUGGUUGAAAAUGGGAUUAUAUCUCAAUUGACUGCCUCGGGAACACCACAACAAAAUGGGGUAGCUGAAAGAAGAAAUAGAACUCUUUUGGAUAUGGUGAGAUCUAUGCUUAGUUAUUCUUCAUUACCAAUCUCUUUUUGGGGACUAGCACUGGAAACUGCAGUUUACCUUUUGAACUUAGUUCCAUCUAAGUCAGUGCCUAAAACCCCAAUAGAAUUAUGGUCAGGUCGCAAACCAAGUUUACGACAUGUCCGUAUUUGGGGAUCACCAGCACAUGUGCUGAAACCAAAGGCAGACAAAAUGGAUUCACGUUCUGAGGUUUGUAUGUUUGUGGGGUAUCCCAAAGGAACAAGGGGAGGUUUAUUUUAUAGUCCUCAAGAUAGGAAAGUGAUCGUGAGCACACAUUUCACUUCCCUUGAGGAAGACUAUAUGAAUAACUUCAAACCUAAGAGUAAGGUAAUACUUGAAGAGCUGUCAGGUGAUCAGGUUGAUGCUCAGCUUUCAACGCCUGUUACAGAACAGGAAGAACAGCAACAACCAGAUGAUCAACACAGGAUUAACCCUGAACAACCAUCACUUUUAUAACCUCGUCGUAGUGGGAGGGUAACUAGGUUACCUGCGAGAUACAUGUUUUUGGGAGAAAUCUAUACGGCUAUCUCAGAUGAACAUGUACAAGAUCCCACUAGUUACAACGAAGCUCUAAUAGAUAGAGAUGUUGAAUUUUGGAAAAAGGCCAUGAAUCAAGAAAUGGAUUCUAUGUAUUCCAAUAAAGUCUGGGAACUUGUAGAGGCACCAAAUGGGAUAAAACCUAUAGGGUGCAAGUGGAUCUACAAGAGAAAAAGAGGAGUAGACGGAAGGGUGGAAACAUUUAAAGCAAGAUUAGUAGCCAAAGGGUUUACUCAGAAAGAGGGAAUUGAUUAUGAGGAAACUUUUUCUCCGGUUGCUAUGCUUAAAUCCAUCAGGAUUCUGCUCUCCAUUGCUGUAAUGCUAGAUUAUGAAAUUUGGCAAAUGGAUGUCAAGACUGCCUUUCUUAACGGGCAUCUUGAAGAAAACAUCUACAUGCAGCAACCAGAUGGAUUUAUACAAAAAGGCCAAGAACACAUGGUAUGUAAGUUGCAGAAAUCCAUUUAUGGAUUGAAACAAGCAUCCCGGUCAUGGAACAUCAGAUUUGAUCAAGCGAUUAAAUCGUUUGGAUUCAUUCAGAACAUUGAUGAACCAUGUGUGUACAAGAAAAUUCAAGAAAAAUCUGUAGCCUUCCUAAUUUUUUAUGUAGACGAUAUUCUCCUAAUUGGAAACGAUAUAGGAGUAUUGACUACAAUAAAGAGUUGGUUAGCAAAACAAUUUGAUAUGAAAGACCUGGGAGAGGCAAGUUAUAUUCUUGGUAUCAAAUUACUACGAGACCAGAAGAAUAAAACUUUAGCCUUGUCUCAAGCGGUCUAUAUCGAUAAGAUAUUGGCUAGAUUUAGCAUGGAAAAUUCCAAGACUGGUUUAUUACCAUUCAGACAUGGAAUUACAUUCUCUAAGGAUCAAUCACCUAAAACAUCUGAAGAGAUAGAGAGAAUGAGACGAGUUCCCUAUGCAGAAGCUGUGGGAAGUCUUAUGUAUGCCAUGCUUUGCACUAGGCCAGACAUCUGUUUUGCGGUAGGGAUGGUUAGUAGAUAUCAAUCUAAUCCUGGACCUGAACACUGGACUGCGGUCAAGCAUAUAAUGAAGUAUCUGAAAAGAACUAAAAAUUAUAUGCUUGUGUAUUCUGGUGAUGAACUCAUUCCAGUGGGUUAUACUGAUUCUGACUUUAUGUCAGAUAAGGAUUCCAGAAAAUCAACUUCCGGCUAUGUGUUUACAUUGGGAAGUGGAACUAUUAGUUGGAGGAGUGUGAAACAAUCUUGUAUCGCAGACUCCACAACUGAAGCUGAAUAUGUGGCUGCAUCCGAAACUGCAAAAGAAGCUGUAUGGCUCCGCAAGUUCCUACAAGAUCUUGAGGUGGUACCUGCUGUAACUGCACCCCUUAAACUAUUUUGCGAUAAUAGUGGUGCGGUAGCUAAAUCUAAGGAACCACAAGAAACAAAAACAUAUUGAGAGGAAGUAUCAUCUUAUAAGGGAUAUAGUGCAGAGAGGUGAUGUGGAGGUUACUCAGAUUGCGUCACAGCAAAACUUGGCAGAUCCUUUUACUAAGGCCAUACCUGGGAAACCUUUUAACUUGCACUUGGAAUCCAUGGGCAUGCGUGAGAUGCCAAAUAUGCUUUGAGAGCUAGUGGGAGAUUGUUGGGAAAAUAUGCCCUUUAAAAGCAUAUGUGUUUAUUUAAUUGUAAUAAACAAUUUUUCUGAUUAAUAAAAUAAAUGAGGUAUUUUAUUCAAAUAUCUUAAUUGCAUUAAUAUUUGUAUUAAAGUCCAUUUAAUCAUAUUAUAUGUAUUUAUGUGAUCACCAUGUGGAUUCACAGAAGACAUAAAUACAAGUUAUCUUAUGAUUAAAUAAAUUUAGUUCGCAGUUGAUAAAUAAAGUUGGGCACUUUAUUUAGGUAUAGACUGUAAUAAAUUCAUUGAAUGAUUUGUCUUAAUCAUGUAUGAAUUUAUUGAUGUAGUACGACUACAUUAAACAGGAUCACAUGUGAGAUUUAAUUAACUUUGUAAUAACUGUCAGACUUAUUAAAUCUUAUAGGCAUUGAUUUUACUGUAAUCUUAAUCUUGAGUUAAUUAUGAUUUCAUGAUUGUAAUUGUUAUUCCAUUUGAGUUACCAAUGGGCACGACACAUCCUUGUGGUCAAGAUUACCCGGUAUCUUGGUGGGAGCAAUUAUGAGUAUUGGAGUUAUGGAUUAACAAUAUAGAAUUUGUACAACACAUCUCUCGAUAGGUUUUCGGCACUUGAUCAUAGAAUUCUUUGGCCAGAGUGUGUCAACAUAUUUAGUAUGUUGAAAAUGAUCAUUAGAGAAAACCAGUAAGGAUCAAGGAAUAAGAUGUUAUUAAAUUGAUUGGACAGUUGAGAUAUCAAUUUAAUUAACGAUGUGGUACAAAGGAUUGUGCAGUAAAGAAAUCAAUGUGGCUUGGGACGAAUUAUUAUUCGAGCAUACAAUUAUGGAAGUCAGUUCCAAUCUUUUAGUGGAGUAGAUUUGGAAUUAAAUAAUUGGGCUAGUUUAAUUACAGGCCUAAUUAUUGUAGCCACUAUUGUAUGUUCCCAAAUGAUCCCCGGGUUAGCUCAUUUAAUUGACUGCACCACUACUGGACUAAUAAGUAAGAUAACUAGCUAUUUGGGUCAAAAGCCUAAAUAUAUCAUUUAGUGGGAGGCUCCAUUUAAUUAGCUUUUGUAUAAGGGGCCUUAUGUUAUUUUACAAGGUGGGUCCCCUAUUGAAAAAGAAAAUAAUGUGAGUUUUAUUUAGGGCAUUAUUUGGAGCCUAGGGUUUUCACUAAAGAGAGAUAUAUAAGGCUUAUUUUCUCUAAAGAAAAAAGAAAAGCCACUUUAUACAGAUCAGAGAAUAAGAUUUUUCUCUCCAUUGUUGAGAGAAAAAUUUUCUCGUGCUAGUUGCUUUGGUAGUGAUAAAGGCACCCACACGUCAAGUGCAGAUCAAACCUGAGUCAUAACCUGGAAGAUCAUUGGUGACAGUUCAUGAUCUAACAAGCGUGGUGGUGACGGUUCGUGAUCUAACAAGCGUGGUGGUGACGGAUCGUGAUCUAACAAGAGUGGUGGUGGCGGAUCGUGAUCUAGGAGCCUAAAUCACUUCAGCGAAAAAAGCCAACUCGGAUUUUCAAGGUACGAUUUCUAGAAUACGAAUUCUUAUAUAUUAUAUGAGAGCGAUCUUCAAAACGUUUUAUAAAAAUUUAAAAACCGAAUUUUUUCACCAACACUAUGUAGCUAGAUGGCAUUUCUAGUGUUUCAAGGUUUAAAAGGGUGCAUAGCAGUGAAGGAAGGCAUUUGACCGAAGGGAUAUUCAAUUUCAAAUACUUCAAAAGAUAUAAAUUUUCUAAUCCGGGCGGAUAUUGGUCCAGGACUGCAAAACCCAAAUUCAAUACCUGAAGGUGUUUGAACUUUUUACAAAAAUUCUCGCAAUCUAUCAGAGCGAGACGAUCGCUUUCUGAACUGUGAUUCAGAAAAGAUUGGAGACGCAUGUCAGAAUAUUCUAAAGGAAAGAAGUCAAUCAGGCGUUCCACAAUGAAGCACCGUUUAACAUUUGCCACUGAUUCUUCUUCCAUUUCAGGCGUCAAGACAAAUCCCGUCUUCUUUGCCACAAAAUACAAUGAAGUAAAUUCAAGACUUGGAACAUAACACGCUUUAAUUGUGCCGCCGGCGCUUCUCUUACUCACUUGAAUGAAGCCGCGAUGGAUUAGUUCUUUCAAGUAAUGUUCGGCAGUUUCUUCAUCGUUGUAUGGUAUGAAACCUUCAGCUACCCACAACUGAUAUAAUUGCCUCGUGGACAUCUCAAUACUUGGAGGGAAGACACACAAAUAGAUGCAGCAGACUUUCAAGUGAAAAGGUAACUCCAUCACAGAAAAAAUUUAUCUCCAAACUGUCGGAAUCGCUUCGCCUUGAACAUAAUUUUCUAAUGGCAUACUUCCAUAGUGUAGGAUGAAAAAUUGCCAGGCUUCAUGCUUUAAUCUGAUCAAUGGUCCUCCAAAGAGCACUGAAUCACGCCGAAUCUUCUCUCCAUUUUCCAUUUCCAACGACGCAAGGAGGUGUGGAUCACUGACCAACAUCAAUACUCUGCUUCCAUUCUGAUUAUCAGGAAGAACUUUUUCAAGAUCACUCCAUAUCUUACUGUCAUCGAAGACAUCAUCAAGCACAAUAAAGUACUUCUUGUUUGUUAGGUAAUCUCGAAGAAUAGAUUUCUUCAAUUGAUAAUCUUCCCCGAUAAUUACACUAACCCGAGCUGGAGGCAUCACAGACUUGAUUAUGCCAUCCAAUAUCUUGCCAAAAUCGUAGGUUAUCGAAACCCUGACCCAAGCAAGACAGUCAAAAUAGAACUUGACGUGAUCAUUAUUGUAAGUAUCUGCAGCAAAAGCAGUCUUAUCGAAGCCACUGCUGUCGAGAAUUGCAACCACUGCAAGCCCAGAUGGUCCCUCAAUCAAUAGAUCAAACAACUCCUCCCUGCCCCUUUGAAAUUCAUUGAUAUCGAGCCGAGGUUGUCCCUCAUUCAAUAGGCGAAUGAUUUCGUUACUUUUCUCACUGAUAUCAAAACCAUUGUCGCCGGGUGGAAGUUGUUGCAUCCGAUUUCUAAUAUCAAUGAUUUUAGUGUGGAGUCCAACAAGAAGAGCCAUAUCAGUACUGCUUUCACUUUCGUUUUCACUGUUUUGCUGCUGCAUGAUGUUGAUGAAGAAUCUGUCAAUGGCUUCCUCAGAUUCAUGGACAAAGUCAUUGAUGUCCUCCAGAAUUUCCAAAAUAUCUGCUCUUUCAACAUCUUCUUCAUCGCUUUCUUCUAAGUCCAACAGUUCAUCGAAAUCUUCUCUAAGGAGUUGAAACAAAUGCCGAGCCAUGUCAACUUCAUAUUUUCCCAGCAGAGUAGUAGCAAUAAUUUCGGACUCCGUAAGAAGGUUUUGAAAAAGUGGAGUUAAAUUUGUUGAAUCUGGCAGCGGCAACGUGCCUUCUUCACCUGCUAACACCCUUUUCAACCUCUCACGAAAUAGUCGGAGGUGGACGUCCAGCAUAUCUCCUUCUCUCUGUAUCACCCAGAGGUAUAGUUGAAAGAUUAAACACCAUGGAAGAAUUUGAAAGGAAAAUGCCAAGAAACUGUGUAAGUGGCUAAACCAUGAAAAAUUGAUCAUUUUUUUGCAUUGUAAGUUGCGCGUUCAUUUAGAGAAAAGUCCAAGACGCGUGCCUUUUGCAAAGAACAGGUAUCCCAAUCGGUAUCCAACCUUUAUCUUAUUUAAUUACUACCAUGACAUAAUUGAUGGUGCUUAAAUCAAUUGUUUCUUUUUUAAUUUAAAGAAUUUUUCAUUAAAAAAAUAUUUUAAUAUCAAAUUGCCUUCAGUGGCGUAACAACUGCCUCAAGCCCAGUAACAGGACUAAUUAAAAAUUUUACAAUUUUGGGGCAUGGAAAUAGUAGUAUUAAACAUUAGAAAGGUAAGGUUGUUCUGUUAAAGAAUUGAUAUUGACAUAAUUUUAUUUUGGUUUUCGUGGAAAAAAAAAAUUUGUUGACAAGCAAGAAAAUAUUUUAUCAUAUAAAAGUAAUUUUAAAAAUAAAUAGAAACAUAAUAUUACAAUAAAUAAAUUAAAGUUUAAAUUAUUUGGAAUAUUAUAAAAAAUAAUGUUAAUAUUAUUAAUAGGAAGACAUUUUGUUAAUUUUAAAAUCUUUUUAAUCCAAAGGUUUAUUUAAAAUCUCUAUAAUAAAUACAAAUAUAAGAUUAAAAUAAAAAUCAUAAUUUGAAAUUUUUAAUAUUAUUUUAAAUGUUAAAUAUACUUUAAUGUUAUUAGCCUACUACGUAGAUUUUAUUAUUUAUAUUAUAUUCGUAUUGAUUAAAAUUUUUUAAAGUCAAUUUUUUAGUUAGUACAUUCAAGAGGUAUUAUAGUUAAAGAAAAGAUUUUGGUGCAACUGUUUUAAAAUUUCAGCGUCUAAAUGAUAAUUUUUUUAAAAUUUAAGGAAGUAGGUAUUAUUUUUCCAACAAUUAUUUUACUUUUGAGGGAAAUCCGAUAAGAAAUAUCAUCAAAGAACAUUAAUUUAACAUUCUUUACCUUUAUGAAAAAAGUGAAAACCAAGAACUAUUCAAUUUUGUAUUUUUUGUUUGUAAUUCAAAAAAUGCAUCCACCAAACAUGCUUAUCUUGAUUUUCCCACUUUAUUCAUUUUCGAUGCUUUUCAAAAGAGGUUCCUUUACUGGUCAUUGUCUACACUAUCAAACAAGUUGAUGGAAAUUGAACCCAUUAAGUUAUGUUCAUUACUGGUCAUUGUCUUUCUAUGAGCCACUUAUUUGGAGCAUUAGCGAUCUUAUAAGGAAUCAUGCCUUUUCAGGAUCGUUUUCUUUCAUUUCCCUAUUGUAGUAGUUAAUUAAAUAAAGAACGAACAGCUGAACUUGGUCUAUUUCGAGGAAGACCAAGGCUUCCAAUACUAGAGGAACUUUGAAGAAAAUUAAUUGGAAACCUUUAUUCAUCUUUGAAGAAAAUUACGUGCCAAUGUAACGAAGGCUUUUAUUCAUCUUCGGACUAUGAAUUUGUACAAAAACAUUAACAGAAAAUAAUAAAGACACAGCUAAAUGAUAGCAGCAAGUGCUGAUUUAGUGAACCACUUCUACAAGUAAAUAAAAACUAAAUAUUUAUUUUGACUAUAACAACAACUACCCUCUUGAAUAGGACUCUACAGCAGCCACAUGACAACUAAUUUCUCCAUAAUAUUAUUAUUAGUAGAAGUAGAUUUUCAAAAUUGUCUUGAUAUAUUUCAAAGUUGUAUUAUCAGCGUAUAUGUAUCUAGAUUGUAACUAUAUUUUAAAAAAUAUAAAAAUUUUAAUUAUUGCACAGUAAUGUAGAACAAUAUCUACAAAAUAAUAUUGUUAGGACUAAGAAAAAAUAUUAUUUUAGAUAAGUUAUUUAUUUAUUAUUGAAUGAAAAAUUUAUCAUGAUAAAUGAAUAUUUAUUAAUUUAAAGAGAGAUUUUUUUUGGUUUUAAGAAGAGUUUGUUUGGUACAUGCACACACUAAUAAAGAAACACAAAAAGUGCUUCCUCAAGUCAAUAGUAUUUGCUUUAAUUGCUAAGGUGCAUAAUAACGUAGCUUAGUUAGGAAAUUUGUAAUUAUAUUAUGGCUCCGUUUGGUAUAAUUUUUUAACUAGAACUUAUUUAAGGAGGGCUUUUAUUAGUAGAGUUUUUAUAAAUAGAGAUUUAACAAAAAAAAUUAUAGUUAUUUAGUUGUCAAUGUACAAAUUGAUGAAUUAUUGUUCUUUUUGUUAACAUGUGUUUGUUUUACUUAAUAAUAAAAGUUUAGUUUACAACAUUGAAGUUCAGCAGAGCAUUUUUGCAGCCAGUCACAUUAUACAUUAUACUAAUAGCAUCGGCAAGAGUUUUCGAUUGUUGCAACUUGCAAUGCACACGAUGCGAGAAAAUGAGAAUCUUGUUUAAUUGCAAUAUUGACAAACCUAAUCCUUUCGUAGGGAGUAAUUUAAUAAUCGUUCGUUAGUUGAAGCGUUAAUUUAAUAAGCGUUGAUUUCCCUUCGAUAACUCGAAGUCCACGACGAUUCUUCUUCUUCUCUGCUGCUCAUUACGCUUCUACCCAAACCCUAGGAUUCAAACCUUUGCUUAGGAGAGAAUCAAAGCGAUUGGUGUUGGAGGUGAUUGAGGCUCUUAGAAGCUUAGAGGUGUGUUAAUUCAAAUUCUUUUGUCGAGAUAAGUAAUUUCAUUCCUAAUAUACUGGAUAUGUAUAAGUAUUUUGAUGUUAUUAUAAGAGUUUUUAUACUUCUUAGAAGAUUAAUAGAUUUUCAUACCAAAAUUAGUUUAUGAAAAUGUUUUCAAAUCUGAAUUCUUUUGAUAAAAUAUUUUACAAAUGCGUUUUAAUAUGUAAAUUAUUUUAUGACAUGACUGCCUUUUAUGAUUUUGUCUAUGAAAUAUUUUUGCAAGCCUAAAUUGUUGCUAUAGACUUUCAUGAAUCUAAUAUGAAUGUUUUGUGCCUAUGUAUGAUUUUAAUUAUUUAUGACUGUACGGGGGCCACCUCUUGAGAUUAUAUGGGGGCCACCUCUUGAGGGCCAAAGCGCCGCAAAGUGCCACAUAGAGUGCAAAGUGCCAUGUAUAAGUCAUUAUGUUUUGGCUCAUUGUCCGUAGUUAUUCUGAUUCUAAUUCUGAUCGUAUUAUACGAUAUAUUUGUUCUGGACUAGUACUAGGUUUAUGUUCUAAGUGUGCACACGAUAUUCUGAUUCUGUUUCUGGUCAGGUCACCGAGACUAUAGGUGAUACUAUGUGACAUGAGCUAACUAUCUGCUUUCUGUGUACACUUUAUACGAUUUGCUUUCAUAAUUGAUUAUUCUUUUGAUACUCUGAAUUACCAUGAAUUUAUGUUAUAUAAUUGAAAUAUGUUGUUUUAUGAAGUUUAUGACUUAUAAUAUAUGUUUUUGAAUAAAAGAAGGCUUGCAAUAUUUUUGAUAUCGAUAGGCCUAGUGUAUUAGGAAUGAUUUUACCUACCGAGUUGACAGCCCACCCCUCGUUAUUACUUUUUGCAGAUUAAGUUCCUUUUAAGAGGUAUGCGUAGCUUUGGAGUUAGAGAUUUCGUUUCCGUUUGCUAUUUGAAUAAGAAGAGGAAUAGACUCAUGUUUCUUUUUAGUUUAUUUCUGUUAUGAGCUUGUAAUUUGGAGUUUGAGACUUUUGUUAUUGUUAUGUUUUGGAAGAGAUUAUUUAGUGUUAGACGUAUUAAUUUGCGGAUUUAUUUGAAUAAGAAUUUGAGGUAUUUGAGCUUGGAAUUUAUAAGUAAGGAUUACGAUUUGUAAGUAACCUCAUUCUUCAUGUGCUCCGCACGUGUUAGAUUUGGGGUGUUAUAUGUUUCGUAUAACUUUUCAAGUAGAGCUUAUUUAAAUAGAAUAUUCGUCAAUAAAGCUUCUAUAAAUAUAGAUUUUACUAAAAAAAAUUUAGUUGUUUGGUUGUCAAUGUCCAAAUUGACGAACUUUUGUUCCUUUGCUAACAUGUAUUUGUUUUACUUAAUAAUAGAAGUUUAGCUUACAAUUACACCGGCGUCAAAUCAACAGAGCAUUUUGGCAGCCAGUCACAUUAUACAUUAUACUAAUAGCAUCGGCAAGAGUUUUCGGUUGUUGCAACUUGCAAUGCACGCGAUGAGAGAAAAUGAGAAUCUUUUCUAAUUGCAAUAAUGACAAACCUAAUCCUUUCGUUGGGAGUAAUUUAAUAAUCGUUUGUUAUAAUUGAAUAUGUAUAAAGAAAGGAAAAUUCUAUUCAUAGAUUUCGACUUAUUUUUUGUUUAAAGUAAUUAAUCAUUCAACCAUCUUCAUUUGCCUCUGGCCAGUGCCCUUGUAGAUUAGUUGAAGCGUUAAUUAAUUCAGAUAAUUACAACGUCCUUUUCGCUAAUUAAUUAUGAUUAUAUAUGUUUCAUAUAGCAAGUGGCUUUGUAGAUCUAAACCAAGUUGCUAUUUCAAAACGUUAAUUAAGUGAUUCUCCUCAUUGUCAUCAGCGUUAUACGCUCUAGGAAAAUAGCUCAAUUGUUUCCCUGCAUUGACUUUCAUUGGUAAGUGAUUUCUUAUGAAAUUCUUUUGAGCUUUCCUUAUUAAAAAAGCUUGAGCUUUUAUCACCUAAUGCGGAUAUCAAUUAACUUGUGAAUGAUUUUGCAAUGAAACUAGGAGUUAAAUAAGAUUUUUACAUGAUGAAUUUUUAUUUUUUUAAUUUUUUGAUGUAGUCAAUUUGCUAAUUUUAUGUAUUUCAUAUUCAACGGAAUUUGGGCACGGAAAGUUUGGAUUCUAAUAUUUAUAUGUUUAGCUUUAAUCAGUUUGACUUUCGUAAUCUUUUUCCCCUCAUCAUUAAGGGAUUCAGAAUUAGAGAAACGUUAGGAAGAGGAAGAAAAUAAUUUCGGAAAUAAGUAAGAGGGAAAAAAUUAUUAAAUUAGGAAUGAUUUUUUGUAGAGUAUGUUCCGUUUACUAAACUGAAAUCGAAAUGAGCUGGAAUCAGAAUGGAUAGAAAUGCGAAUGCGCUGGAAUGAGAAUAAGUAAUGAGAAUCAGAAUAAGUUGUUUACUUGAAUUGUAAGAAUCGAAAUCGAAAUGAGCUGGAUUGCAAUUACUUUGUCCUACAAUUAGAAUCGGAAUGAGUUAGAUUGUAACAAAUUACUAAAAGGUACUUAAUGAAUUAUUGUCAUAAUAUUAUUUUAUAUUUUAAUUAUAGUGAUUAUUUAUUCUAAAAUUAUUAUUAUUAAUUAUUUUCAAUAAUAUGUUAAUAUGUUAAUUAAUUUUAAAAAUUAUUAAUUAAUUUAUUAUAAUAAUAUACUAAUUAAUUAUAAUAAUUAUUAUAAAAAUAUAUUAAUUAUUAAUAAUGAAAUUACUUAUUUAAUUAUAAUAAUAUAUUAAUUAUUGUGAUUAUUUAUUCAAAAAUUAUAAUUAUUAAUAAUUAUUGUUAAUAAUGUAUCAAUAUAUUUUAUAUUAUGAAAUUGUGAUGUAUUGUAGACAAAUAAGGAAUUUGGUACAAUAAAUUCUUAAUAUCUUAGUACAAAGUAUGGUAAAAUGGUAUUUUAACUUAUUGUAGACAGAUUAAAUUUCGACACACUUAAUCCAUGAUAAAAUUAAUGGAAAAUAAUGAUAAUUUAUACAAUUAAUCUUUUGAGCAAUAAAAAAAUAAAAGAAAAAGAAGUUACUAAAUUAUGUUUACUGCUAAGAGUGAAUCCACAAUCCUAAAUAAUUAUUUCCAUCGUUUCACUUAAAUUAAAUAGUGUGAAUUUAAAUUCUAAUUUUUUGAUAAAUUAAAAAGAAAUAAAAAAUUAAAAUUUUUCUCUAUGGAUCGACCUCGGAUUGAUCAAUUUAUUUCAUAACAACACACUUUUAUACUUGAGAGUUAUAAAUCACUUUGAAGUUGUGUUAAGUUUUUGACGCUCUUACGGGGAAAAAAUAUUUAUUUUAUUUUAUGUAUGGGUCAAACUUGAAAGUAUAUUUUAAGAUAACUGCUAAUAUGCUCUAUUAGACAAUGAUAACCUAGUUGUUUGUGGUGUUCAUAAUGAGUUUAAUUAUGAUUAAACAAUUUAAAAUAUGAAAAAAUAUGGAAGAUGGCCGUAAUUAAAUUGAUUGCAUGAAAAUAUUUCAAUGAAAUUUUAAAAAUUUGGUACUUAUUAUCUUAUCAAAAGAUUUUUAAAUUAUAUUACUACUUCAACUUAACUCCUCCUGGAUUGAUUGUAUUGAAUUUCCAGCACUGCCAUUGCUUCUACUUGAAAGCCAUUUAAGUUUGUGUAAGCUACCUAUAGUUUGAAUAACAAUUUACUCAUGAAUUGCCGUUCAUGAUAACAAUUUGAUUGAAAGUGCGGCUCCACUAAUUGUCUAGAUGAUUUUUUCCCACAUGUUUGUUCUCGUACGACCCCAGAAUGCUGUUAUAUCAGUUGUAUUGGAAAUUAAUCAACUGGUUACAACUCUACACCCCAUCAAUAUUUAAGCAGUCUACAGAACAUUAAUUGUGUUUUGAAAUUUUAAUGAGUCUCACGUGUUUUUCACGUGAUAUGCAGUAAAAACAAAAUUAAAAAAAUGUGAACAUUCAGCCCCAAAAUCCCCAACUCCUUCCAAAUUGGUUCCGCAGCCCCCAAAUCCCUUAAACCCAAAUCACUCUAAAAAGACUCUCCUCAGCCAAAAAGAAAAAGGUCACCUCACCUCUCCUCUUCUUCUUCCAUGGCGAUCAACGGCGGCACAAGCACGGGCUGAUCUCCUUCGUCGGUAACGAUCAACGGCGGUACAAGCAUGGGCAGAUCUUUUUUUGGCAAUGAUCAACAGCGGCACAAGCACAGUCGUCCUCAGGUACGGAUUUGAUGUUGGUUGUGUUGUCAAGUAGCGAUUCAUGUUUGGAAGAGAAUCCGCUCGCAAGGACCUGGAGCACUUAAUCGAAGAUCUUAAGCGAGGAAUUCGCUUCCUCCUCAUUCCUAAUCGGUGCCUGGUUCAUCAGUAUGAUUAAGGAUGAAAAUUGAGAAAGAAGGACGCAUUAGGUUUGAGACAUUGGUUGAAAAGCGCUACCCCGGUGGCCACGCUGGAAACAUAUGUUCCGUGGCUUCUUGCGUUGUCUGUGAGGAAUAUGUACUGCUGUAGAAGAUAAUUAUGAAUCAAUGGUAAUUGGCGUGUUGGUUUUGGUGCCGAUUUCCUCUUAUUUUCCAGAAAAGGCUUGUAAUUUGUUCACCUCAAGAUUCAAUUUGUUAUUGAAAAUGGAUGGCUGUAAAGACCUACUGGCCUUUCAUUAUAUUAAUGUUUUUGACAGUAAGUUUGUAAUAGUUAGUGCAGGGAACUUAUUGAUUCUUGAUUAUAUAUAACGGUGGCCCUUAUUACUUUAAAAAAAAAAAAAAAAUUGAUGAUGGGUUUCGUUUUGUAUAAGUGUUUGGAGUGUUGGAAAAUGAACAUUGUAUAUUUUAGAUAGUUGAGUUCCAUAGUAGUGAAAAGCUACGGAUUUGUUUUCUUUGUAUUGAAAUGUGUUUUGACCAUUAUAUGUUGUUUGAUUGGUGAUAGUUUUAUGUUUGUCAGUUCCAGUAGUCUCUUAAUCGCCAUCUGGCAUGGAAACUCACUGUGAAUAUGUGAAGAAUGCAGUGAUCAUAAGGAGUAAAUGAACGAUCAAACAUGCUAAAAUUAAAUACCAAAAAAUAAAAUAAAAUAAAAUAAAAUUGGAACUGGAAGAGUAAAUAGCAAAAGAUUGGGCGAAAAUUGAAUACCAUAACAAAAAAAAAAUUAAAAUAAAUUCAAACGACAAGAGCUAAUUAAGAGCAAAAAGAUGCUUGACUUACCAAGAGCAAGGACCAAGCAAAUGGUUUUACAUUCGGGCUUGAUGGUGAACUGGUUGGAGAUGGGUACGAAUGUGAUCUCGUUGAGAUUUGGAGAAGAGAACGGGGGAAUGGCCACAAUAUCUUUGUUACUUUUUUUUUUAAACUUUAUUUUACUGUUGAUCACAUGAAAAUCACGUGCAAGUCAUUAAAAUUUCUAAACACAGUUACUGCUGUCGUUUCGAUGUUCUCGGGCUAUCACAUGCUCGGUACGUCUAUCACUACUCGUCAAAAAAAAUGACACGCGUUCAUUUCCAAGACGCGUGCCUUACUACCAUGACAUGAUUGAUGGCGCUUAAAUCAAUUGGUUUUUUUUUUUAAUUUAAAGAAUUUUUCAUUAAAAAAAUAUUUUAAUAUCAAAUUGCCUUCAAUGGCAUAACUGCCACAAGCCCAGUAACAGGACUAAGGGUACGUUUGAGAUUGAGGUUGGGCAGCUGUACCUUUUAAGCUACAACACUAAAGUGCUUGGUAAACACUAGCUGCUCUAGGUUGGAAGCUAUAUUAAUAUGAUUUUUCACUUGUAUAAUAGAAAAUAUAUUAUAUCUUUAAUAAUUUUGUCAAAUUUAUAUUUACUACAUAUUAUUAAUUUUUGUUUUAUAGUCACAGCUUUUUUUCCACAGCACCUGUAGCUUAAAAGAUACAGCACCUCAAUCCCAAACGCAUCCUAAUUAAAAAUUUUAGAAUUUUUGGGCAUGGAAUUGAAAAGAGUAGUAUUAAACAUCAGAAAGCUAAGGUUGUUCUGUUAAAGAAUUGAUAUUGACAUAAUUUUAUUUUGGUUUUUGGGGAAAAAAAAUUUGUUGACAAGCAAGAAAAUAUUUUUAUAUUUUACAAUUUAUUAUACAUAUUUUAUCGUAUUAAAGUAAUUUUAAUAAUAAAUAGAAGCAUAAUAUUAAAUAAAGUUUAAAUUAUUUUGAAUAUUAUAAAAAAUAAUUUUAAUAUUAUUAAUAGGAAGAUAUUUUGUUAAUUUUAAAAUCUUUUUAACCCAAAGGUUUAUUUAAAAUGUUUAUUAUAAAUAAAAAUAUAAAAUUAAAUAUCAUAAUUUAAAAUUUUUAAUAUUAUUUUAAGUAUUAAAAAUAUUUUAAUGUUAUUAGUCUGCUACAUAGAUCAUAUUACUUAUAUUAUAUUUGUAAUGACUAAAAAUUUUUAAAAUCAAAUUUUUUAGUUACUAUAUUUACGAGAUAUUAUGGUUAAAGAAAAGACCUUGGUGUUACUUUUUACAAAUUUGAGUGUCUGCAUGAUAAUUUUAUCAAAAUUUAAGAAUGUAUGUGUCCUUUUCUCCAAUAAUUUAUUUCACUUUUGAGGGGAAUCCAAUGAGAAAUAUGAUAAGAGAAUGUCAAUUAUUUGUCAUUUUCUAUUUUUUCUGUAAGCUAUUCAUUUUGAGCAUUAGUGAUCUUGUCUGGACUACUCCAAUUAUUGAUGUAACUCCAGUGGCUGCAUCCACAGUUGAAUAUAUGAUAGUGUUAGCUCUUAUUUGAGAAUUCAGAGGGAUCUUCUAUGUUUAUCAAUUGCAAUGUGCUAGUAUAAAUUUCUUUACCUCACAGUUUAUAUAGUCUUGCUGUUAAAGAACUCACUGAGGCAUUAUUGACUCAAUUUCAGUGGAGCAAUCGCGCGUAGUGGAUAAAUAAAGGAUAACAGAACAGAGCUGAAGUGCUAAAUUGGCUAUUAAAGAAGGGUGUCACAUGAUCACAAUCACAUUGGUGCACAACUAGAGUUAGGCAAAUUUUGUCUAUAUGUACUCUAAAUUCAGACAAACCAUACAUGCAUGAACAAAAAUUAAACCGUCGUUCUAAUCACAACAGUAAUUGAAGCUACAAAAGCCAGCAAAUCUGAACAAAGACUUAAAAGAAAGAUCUUAUUCAAGUUGUCCCCAAAAGACAGCUGAAAUGAAUAAUAUUGACUAUUGAUUGGGUCAAUGCUGAAUUACAUUUCAAUAGGAAAGCUUGGCAGCAGUUACAAUGUUUCCCCCUCUGAUUUUCGUCCAAAACAAAUUCAGUUGUAAACAACAAUCGAAGUAGAAAUAAUUUAUUCAUCAAAGAAAAUACCCAAGUUUUCAACAAACAAAUCUUCUUGUCUAAACUAAAAAAACUCAUCUCUAAAAUCUAUCUGCAAAAUAUUGGAAAUGAGGAGUGAUCCGUCAACUCCAUAAAUAAACUCAUGCAUAAUGUUAACAAUAAUGAUAAAUUACAUAAUAAUUAUUAUAAAGAAUCAUAAAUUGGAAACACUAAUCAUUCUACAAUCUAUUAUAUAAGUAAGAUAAAUCUCAUAAUAAGUUAAGUUAUAAUGUAAUAAAUAUUUUCAAUAUAUAAUUAUUUAAGAAGUCAUUUAACAAUAAAAUAUUUUUUUUAUUCAAUUGAUCAUAUAGCGUUAUCUAAACUCAUGACGAAAUUAUUAUUACUCACUUUUCUAAAAAAAACAUGAUUAACUUUUAGAGAAAAGUCAUGCCUUUUAGAAAGAAUAUUACCGUGACAAAAUUGAUGGUGAUUAAUUCUAUUUUUAAAAUAGAUUUAAUGCACAAAUAUGGUGACUUUUGGCAAAAAUUAGUUUCGGAAGAUAUAGUGGUAGAAAAUAGUGAUGAUUAUUGUUUAAAUGUGUAAAUAGCCGAAGCAUAGCCCGUGAUACCAAUAUCCAUUUGCACCUUCAUUUGGAUUAUCACAUUUCAUGAUAUUCUUUCGUUCAUGACCAUUGUUCAAGAUUUGAAUUUGAAUACAAAUUAAGCUGCAAGGGAGCUUACUUCGGUUUCUAAGCUUUUCAAUUGUGAUUCCUGCAUGCCUUGCUCUGAUACUAUUUUGUUACUUGCCAAUGUAACCAACCUUGUAAUUGGUCUGUAUAAGAAAUCAAGCCCUUUCAGGAUUGUUUUCUUUUGUUUCUCUAUUGUAGUAGUCAACUAAAUAAAGAAUGAACAACUGAACUUGAUCUAUUUUGAUGAAGACCAAGACCUCCAAUACUAAAUGAACUUUGAAGAAGAUUAAUCUACUGCUUUUAUUCAUCUUUGGACUAUGAAUUUAUACAAAGACUUUAACAGAAAAUAACAAAGACAUAGCUAAAUGAUAGCAACAAGUGCUGACUUAGUGGACCACUUCUACAAGUAAAAAAAGACUAAAUAUUUAUUUUGACUAUAACAACAACUACCCUGAUGAACAGGACUCCACAUCAGCCACGUGACAACUAAUUUCUCCUUAAUAUUAUUAUUAGUAGAAGUAGAUUUUCAAACUAGUCUUGAUAUAUUUCAAAGUUGUAUUAACAAUGUAUAUGUAUCUAGAUUGUAACUAUAUUUUUAAAAAAUAAAAUAUUUUAAUUAUUGCACAGUAAAUGUAGAAGAAUAUCUGUAAAAUAAUAUUAUUAGGACUAAAAAAAUAUUAUUUUAGAUAAGUUAUUUAUUUAUUAUUGAAUUGAUAAUUUAUUAAUUUAUUUCUAAAUGAUAUUUAUUAAUUUAAAGAGAGACUUUUUUGGUUUUAUGAAGAGUUUGUUUGGUACAUGUUUACACUUAUAAAGAAACACAAAAAGUGCUUCCUCAAGUCAAUGGUAUUUGCUUUAAUGGCUACGGUUCAUAAUAAUAUAGCUUAGUAAGGAAAUUUGUAAUUAUAAUAUGACUCUUUUAGUACAACUUUUCAAGUAGAAUUUAUUUAAGUAGAGAUUUUGUUAGGAGAAGUAUUGUUAAUAGAGAUUUCACAAAAAAAAUUUUAAUUAUUUGAUUAUAAUAUCCAAAUUGAUGAACUUUUGUUCUUUUGUUAACAUCUGUUUGUUUUACUUAAUAAUAAAACUUUAGUGGGUUUGGCUACAAAUAAAAGUUUAGUGGGUUUGGCUACAAUGCCGUUGGCAUUGUUCCCGGCACCAUGCCGGGCUCUAAAAAAGAGAGCCCGGCUGUCUUUGGCUGCCAUUUGGCAGCCAAAGACUUGGUGCAGCCGGUUAACAAACCGGUUGCACCAUAUUUUUUAAAAAAUAUAUAUUAAAAAUAGAAUAUAAAAAUGAAAAAAAUUAAAUAAAAUGUCAAAAAUAAUUUUUAUAAUAUAAUUAAUAGCAAAAGAUAAAGAAAUUAAAUUAUAUAAUACAAACCCUAUAGUACAAUAUGAUAUAAUUAAAUAAAAUGGCAAAAAAUAAAGAAAUUGAAAAUGAAAAAAAUUGUAUUUCAGUUUUAACGUUAGUUAUUGCAUGUCCGACGUCCCGAUUUCAUGUUUGACAUAAGAAGUUGCAUGUUUUGGAUAAAACCAAAAUAAAGAAUAUUCUGGAAUAUUCUCGUCUGUUUCAUGUUUGACGUCAAAGUUGCGAACUUUACGUGGUAAGUUGCAUAUUUCGCGUGAAGUAUUGCGAGUUUCAUAUUUAACAUCAGUUGUUGCAUUUUUUACGGUUGGAUUUCAUGUUUGACGUACGAUGUUGCAUGUUUUGAAUAAAGCCAAAAUAAAGAAUAUUCCGGAAUAUUCUCGUCCGUUUCAUGUUUGACGUUGAAGUUGAGAACUUUACGUGGUAAGUUGCAUAUUUCGCGUGAAGUAUUGCAAGUUUCAUAUUUAACGUCAGUUGUUGCAUGUCGAACGUCACGGUUGCAUGUUUGACGUAAGCUGAUGCAUGUCUUGAAUAAAGCCAAAAUAAAGAAUAUUCUCGAAUAUUCUCGUCUGUUUCAUGUUUGACGUUGAAGUUGCGAACUUUACGUGGUAAGUUGCAUAUUUCGCGUGAAGUUUUGCAAGUUUCAUGUUUAACGUCGGUCGUUGCAUGUCGGACGUCACGGUUGCAUGUUUGACGUAAGCUGAUGCAUGUCUUGAAUAAAGCCAAAAUAAAAAAUAUUCUCGAAUAUUCUCGUCUGUUUCAUGUUUGACGUCGAAGUUGCGAACUUUACGUGGUAAGUUGCAUAUUUCGCGUGAAGUUUUGCAAGUUUCAUAUUUAAUGUCAGUUCUUGCAUGUCCGACGUCCCGAUUUCAUGUUUGACAUAUGAAGUUGCAUGUUUUGGAUAAAACCAAAAUAAAGAAUAUUCCAGAAUAUUCUCGUCCGUUUCAUGUUUGACGUCGAAGUUGCGAACUUUACGUGGUAAGUUGCAUAUUUCGCGUGAAGUUUUGCAAGUUUCAUAUUUAACGUCAGUUGUUGCAUUUUUUACGGUUGGAUUUCAUGUUUGAUGUACGAUGUUGCAUGUUUUGAAUAAAGCCAAAAUAAAGAAUAUUCUCGAAUAUUGACGUUGAAGCUGCGAACUUUACGUGGUAAGUUGCAUAUUUCGCGUGAAGUAUUGCAAGUUUCAUAUUUAACGUCAGUUGUUGCAUUUUUUACGGUUGGAUUUCAUGUUUGACGUACGAUGUUGCAUGUUUUGAAUAAAGCCAAAAUAAAGAAUAUUCCGGAAUAUUCUCGUCCGUUUCAUGUUUGACGUUGAAGUUGCGAACUUUACGUGGUAAGUUGCAUAUUUCGCGUGAAGUAUUGCAAGUUUCAUGUUUAACAUCCGUCGUUGCAUGUCGGACGUCACGGUUGCAUGUUUGACGUAAGCUGAUGCAUGUCUUGAAUAAAGCCAAAAUAAAGAAUAUUCUCGAAUAUUCUCGUCCGUUUCAUGUUUGACGUCGAAGUUGCGAACUUUACGUGGUAAGUUGCAUAUUUCGCGUGAAGUUUUGUAAGUUUCAUGUUUAACGUCCGUCGUUGCAUGUCGGACAUCACGGUUGAAUGUUUGACGUAAGCUGAUGCAUGUCUUGAAUAAAGCCAAAAUAAAGAAUAUUCUCGAAUAUUCUCGUCCGUUUCAUAUUUGACGUUGAAGUUGCAAACUUUACGUGAUAAGUUGCAUAUUUCACAUGUAGUGUUGUAGGUUGCAUGUUUAACGUUCGUUGUUGCAUGUCCGACGUCCCGAUUGCAUGUUUAACGUAAGAUGUUGCAUGUUUUGAAUAAAGCCAAAAUUAAGAAUAUUUCAGAAUAUUCUCGUCUGUUUCAUGUUUGACGUCGAAAUUGCGAACUUUACGUCAUGAGUUUUAUAUUUCGCGUAAAGCGUUGCAGGUUGUAUGUUUAACGUUAGUUAUUGCAUGUCCGACGUCCCGAUUUCAUGUUUGACGUCGAAGUUGCGAACUUUACGUGAUAAGUUGUAUAUUCUACGUGAAGUGUUAAAUGAAUUUUGUUUUAAAAAUACAGUUUAACCUCAAAACUGUAUGAAACUAUGUUAUGAUCCAAAACGUUAUAAAAAUUUUCAAAUUGGUCCAAUUUUAGAAUUUCUAAUUAUUACUUUAUUAAACUCAAAACUUUCUGAAAUUAAGAUAUGAUCCAAAAUAUAAGAAAUUAUAGAAUGACCCAAAACAUUUAAAUAUUUUGAAAUAGGUCCAAAUCCGAAAUUUAAAACAAUAAUUUAUUAAAAUCAAAGAUUAUGAAAAACAACUUAACUCCAUAAAGACAUAUUCUUAUUGUUAAAGCACAAUACAUAAAUCUUUAUUUAAUCAACACAUGUGGUUUGUUAUCGAAAUCUCAAUACAACACAUUAGUCCAAAAUUAUCCAAAGCAUACGGAAAUAACAUAUUAUCCAUGAAAUAUCAAACAAUCAAAACAAAUCCAUGUCAUUCAAAACAAAUACAUAAUCCAAAAUCAUAAUGAAAUGUAGGUGUGUCCAAAUACAAGCAUAAGAGACUACUAAGGUGGUGAGGAUGGUGGUGAUGGAGGUGGAUACGGAUAUGGAAUGCCGAAGUGCUCAAAGAGGAGGCGCUGUCCAUGAAUAAACUGCUGCUGCUGGUGGUGAAACUCAGUCUGCCACACAGAGAGUGUCCUCACCUCAUCCAUAAGCUGCUGAAGAGUAACUUCUUCAAAAGUAGGAUGCUCGGGAUGUGGUAAAGAAGGUGCAGAGGCUGUAGGAGCCGAGGGAGAUACUGAAGGAGCUCGACGUCUACGCUGACCCCGAAAUGAAAGUGCAAAAACAGGUAGCUGAUGGGCUGGAACCACAGCAUUAAGUGGUCGAUCAUCACUUGGAGCAAGAAAGGUGAACUUUUUAUCAGUGACUUUUACCCAAGUGCCAUUACGACACUCAAAACCUAAAGAACUAACAGCCUCAUCCCCAAUGCUCUUAGACGGCCUACAUGAUGGUUCUUGGAUAGUGACGCUAAAGUAUUUGAGGAUUCGGGUGAUGAAAUGACCAUUCAGAAGGGAACGAGUAAUCAACUUAGGUAUACUAAGCAUGUUUCGGACAAUGGUGUAUCCUAAGUCGACUGGACGAUGUCUAAGAAUACAAUCAAUCAAGGCAACAUCCAUAUGAGAAACCUCAUCCAAAUGGCCUGAUCUAUGAAGCACAAUACUCUGAAUAAAACGAAGUAAUAUCCGAGUUUGAAGACAAAGACAUUGGGUGCGAAAAUGGAUAGUACAAUCAUCAUCCGAAAGAUCAAUACGACGACAUAUAUUCUUAACAGCAUCAAUAUGAACAUAAUCAUCAAUAUCAGGAGGUUUCCUAGGUGAAAAAAUUUCUAGGCCAUCAUCGGAAGUUCCUAGAAUAGAGUUCAACUCCGAAUCAUCAAACUCAAUCGAAACUCCUUCAACUGUGGUGAUUACUCGAUUCUCUUUCUCCGCGGAACAAUCCAUAUUCGAGUAAAACACUUUCACCAAGUCGGGAUAUACAUUUUCCUCAAAAACAAUUGAAUUAAGCCAACCAACAUCUUCCAACAAUUGCAAUAAAGUUCUAUUACUAAUACUAAGAUUAUUCAACCAAUCCGGUAAAACAAAAAAGGUUUGGAGUACCUCACGAGUCAUGAACUGUUGGUGAAAUCGUUUGGCUAGAUGUUUGUGGUUCUGAAAGUGUCUGGCCUCAAAGUUGGAUUUAUUGGAUGUGCCCCCUGCUUGUCGUGACCGGUUGGUAUGUUGAACCGGUUCUUUGCCUUUUCUUCGAAUCGGCCGUGAGCUUGACAUGGUGAAUUUUUUUGAUUUGAAGUGAAAUAAAUCAAUGAGAAGGGAGAUAAUAAGGAUGGAAAGAGAUUUUGAGAAGCAAUUUCGAUCAAAAACGGCUUCAGAGGGGGAAAUCUAGAGAGAGAAGUUUCGGCUUAAACCAUAGAAUUGAUUUCGGAUCUAUUGAUUUUGAGGUUCAAAAAAGGUUUGAAGGAUGAUUUUGGAUACAAGAACGGAUGGGAAACAAGUUUCAUGGAUCCAUUUGCAUAAAAAACCUGUGAAAAUGAUGGAUUUUGGAGAGAAAACGAGAGAGGAAUAUUCGGUUUUAGAGAGAGAUAGCUAACCGGUUUACCGAAAGAUAAAGGAGGAGAUGAACAGUUUAUAUACUCGCGAAUCCGGCUAUCCGGAAAUUAUUAACCGGCUAACCCAUUGUAGGCAGUGACCUACCCACGCGAAUUCAGAUUUCCGGUUUGAAUAACCGGCUAUCCGGUUUCGUCUCCAAGAAAAAACAGCAAACUGCCUCACUCGGCUGAGAUAAAAAAAAACCAACUGUGAUAGGGAAUGCAUAAUUUGUUUGAAAGAUGAAGUUUCACUUGAUUUCUUGCCAUGUGCGUACCAAGUUUUGUGUGCCAGUUGCAGUGUCAAAAUUAUCAUAGUUUGUCUUAAGAAGUCUGAAAGAUUAGAAAAAGAGAUUGCUAAGUUCAAGAAAUGAAAGUGAGAUAAAAUUACUUGUGUCGCUUCUUGUGUCUUCCCAUUGUUUAAUUCUGAUAUUGUUGCUUACUAAAUUAACAAAGAAAGACCAGCACAAUGACUGCUGAUGAAUACUUUGAGAAGCAUCCAGAGCUAAGGAAAGAAGUUUGAUGAUGAAAUCCGGAAUGAUUAUUGGGGAUAUUAAUUCAGUCAUGUGCAUUCAGUUAUCGGGAACAUCUUCUUUCAUGCAGACUCUCGAGUUCAUCCCAACCACCAUGCUGUUUUGGUGCAUCAUAACAAGAAUAAGCCAAUUGUUUUACUCCAUUUUGGUUGAUUUGACUAUCACAAAAAAUUCCAUGAUAUUUGGACAUUACUCAGAAUCUAGCUAUAAUAAUUUCUCUUUUCUUAUUUGCCAAAUUUGCAUUAAGAUUUUUUUAGAAGAACUUUUAUGUUUUCACAUUCAGAAAGAGUUAAAGCAAAGCAAUUGCAGUAGCAGUGUGUAUGGAAUUUGUUGAAUGGAUCCAUUUGAAAGUCCAUUUUUUAUUCUUUAAUGUAAUAUCUAAUAUUAAAAAAAUCUUAAAACAAAAAUAUGAAUGAAUUGAAAAAUCAAAGUAGUAUUCCACAUUCCCAUGUAAAAAUAGAUUAACGACACCACUUUAAGAAAAGCUAAAAAUAAAAAUAGAUAUAUAUUAUUAAACAAAAUGAAAGUUGGAACUUACAAAGAGCUAAUAUUAUUACUUUAAUCUUCUAGUAUUUAGAGUUCAUCUUGUGGCUGAUAUUAUUGCUUGGCUACGUGAAACCAUUUUAGUCUUGUCAACACUAUCUUGUGGCUGAUAUUUUUUAUUGAAAUGCUCUUCAUCCACCAACUUGGUUCUUGUCAGUUUGCUUGGUAACUUCUUCUUGUUUGGUUUUGGUGCAUUAUUUAUCUAUUCACUCGUUAGUCAGACACUUUUUUUUUGUAUUUUUUGUUUCUACGCACAAGACUGAUAAAAUUAAAUGGGCUUAAUCUUUUGUCUUCCUAAUAGCAAUAUUCAAUAUUUAUUUAGUAAUAUUUCUAGAACUCUAAGAAAUAACUGGAUUUAAAUUUUAUGAAUUAUAUAUUGUGCUAAAAGCACAAAGACAAUCAUAUGAGUGUAUAUUAUUAUUAAAAUUAAACAAUUGGAUUUAACCUCCUCUUCAUACAAUUCAUAUACAUUGGCUCGCUCUCGCUCUCUUUUCUACAUGCAUGUGUCAUUUACAUUUAGGUAUUUGUAUGCGCGUAUAUUAUUAUAAUGUAAUCCCUCUAAAAAAUGAGACCAAUCACAGUCCAAACAAAAAAAAGAAAGAUAAAGAAAAGUUAAUACUUUAAUGGCAUUGUUAAUACGUCACAGUAAUCAUGUCCCUCGAAUCCGGAUAACUGGAUUUAACAACCGGUUAUCCGGAUGUUGACUGCAAGCAACAUGCUUGCUGUCACGCGAAUCCGGAUGACCGGAAGUCAACAACCGGUUAUCCGGAUGUUGACAGCAAGCAUGUCAAUCGAAACCGGAUAACCGGAUUUCCUAACCGGUUUUCCGGUUAUUGCAUGUCCUGUAUAAAGUUUAAAAAAAAUAAAGGUAAAAUUACCACGUUUGGUUGGUUAGGUUUGCAAUAAAUAUGAUGAAAAAAAAACUCACCUUCCCUCCAUUAAUGAGGGAUUAUCCUAAGGCUCAUGUCCAAGACUUCUUCACAAAAAACACAGUCACUCCAAAACAUAGUCCCAAAUACUAUUACUGCGGUCUCGUUCAACAUCUAUGGUGCCUAGUUUUCAACUUUUCAAAAGUUAAGUUUCUCUCCAACAAAGGUAUGUGUUGUAAUUUAAGUAGUUGAUUUGUGCUCCCAUAGAUGGUUUCAGAAAUAUUAUUAUAUUAAAUUAUUAAGAUAAAGGGUGUGAAUUAUGUUAUUAACAAAGUUUUGGUUGAACAGGGGUUAAAUAUGAGUAGCCCACAUAGUUCCAGCAACCUAGGAAUAUCCAUUGCUCCAAAUGUUGGUUUACAGGUAUCGGACGUACUUGGCAGUCAUUUCGACUCAGUAGAAGAUGCAGAACUGUGGUAUAACAAUUAUGCCCGAAUGCUUGGUUUUGGUGUUAGGAAAGAUGAUAUGCGGCGCGGAAAAAAGUCUAGACGAAUCACAAUUCGACGUUGGGUUUGUCAUUUCGAAGGGGUAAGAGAUGAAAGACAAUCUCAAAACUGCAGUAGGGUGCAGAACCACGACCUAUAACACGAACCGAGUGUCGGGCAUCAUUUCGAGUGAAUUACGAUGAUUCAGUUGGUAAAUACAUCGCCAAAGAAUUCAGGCCUGAGCACAACCAUCAUUUGGCUUCUACUAAUGGAGUUCAUCUCAUUCGUUCACAUCGAAAGGUUACUGAUGCAGAACUUGCGCAAGCAAAGGCAUUAAGGCAUGUUGGUGUGAAGACUUGCCAAUUCAUGGAUUACAUGGCUGAUCAGGUAGAGGGGCCUCAAAACCUAAGGUUCACACGCAAAGACAUGCAAAACACGCUAGAUGCUUCCACUCGUGCCGAGGUUGGAGAUUCUGACUCAGACACAACUAUAGCAUACUUUGCGGCAAAAUCUGAACAUGACCCUGGGCUUUGCUUUGAGUACACACUAGAUGAUGAAAAUAGACUACGAAAUUUGUUUUGGGCUGAUUGUGUAGCUCGUUAUGACUAUCAGUGUUUUGGUGAUGUGUUGGCAUUCGAUGCAACGUAUAAGACUAAUGUAUAUCAUAAACCCCUCGUUACACUUGUCGGAACAAACCAUCACUUCAGAACAACGGUCUUCGGUUUUGCUUUGCUCGCAGAUGAGACAAUUGACUCAUACACGUGGCUGCUACAAACUUUUCUAUCCACUAUGGGCAACCGAAUGCCCGUGUCUGUAAUUACUGAUGGUGACAAGGCAAUGUCGAAGGCAAUAAAGACAGUGUUUACCGGGUGCAUCCAUCGUCUUUGUUGUUGGCAUCUUGAGCGCAAUGCGCAGGCUAAUUUGAAGAACGAAGACUUUACGAGAAAAUUUCGUGAUUUGAUGUUGACACCUAUGACGGUAACUGAAUUUGAAACCCAAUGGUCAGCUGUAGUGGCUGAAUUCGCACUUGAACAUCAUGCAUGGGUACAGAAAAUGUAUUCAAAGCGGUGCAAGUGGGCGGAAGCUUAUCUUAGAGGAACAUUCUUUGCUGGUAUGCGAAGCACUCAACGAUGUGAAAGUAUGAAUGCAUAUCUUAGCCGAUUUGUCCAACAUAAACUAAAAUUGUAUGAGUUUGUGCGACAAAUCGAUCGUGCUCUCCGCAAUAUUCGUACCACAGAAACAUCCGAUGAGUUCAAAACCAAAUACAGUACUCCUGUCUUAAGAACUCACUUACAGAGCCUCGAGAAACAUGCUGCACAAUUGUUCCCGUUAAGAGUUUUUUCGAAGGUUAGAGAUGAGAUGCUGCGAGAAAGAGCGGUCAUCGAAGUAAAAACUGUCAAAGCUGUCGAUGUUGCAUUGUACACAGUGACUGAAUUUAGGACACCUACAACAUGUUGGAAUGUCAUCCACAAUCUACAAGAAAACCACAUACAGUGUUCGUGUCAAAUGAUGGAGUUUGUUGGGCUUCCUUGUAGGCAUAUGUUUCAUGUCUUGAAAGUGGAACAAAUUGAAAAGAUUCAUGACAAUAUGGUUUUUCGUAGAUGGACAAAAAAAGCCAAGGAGCACAAUACUUGCAGGACCACAAAACCAGAAGUUGACACUGAUGUUUCAGAGAUGGCUAGAUUUAGUGCAUUGUCUGCAGCCUGCAAUAAAAUGUGCUACAAUGCAGCAAAAAACGUUGAAGCCUAUGAAAAUGCAUUGGUAGAAAUCAAUCGGCUAACAUUAACUUAUGAACAACAAUCUGAACGAGACGGUCUCCCAAAUAAAAAAUUGCGGAUGGGAACAAAACUUCGUAAUCCUGCAGUUGUAAAAACCAAGGGCGCUAUGUCUAAAACAAAAUGUGUAGCAGAAAGCUCUAGAAAGUGUGGAAAAUGUCGUCAGGUUGGGCAUACAACACGAACUUGUUCUAUUCAAGGGAAUGAUAGCACCCAGCUAAGGUAUGUCCCAAGUUCUUUAUCAUGUGUUUAAUUAUUGCAUUGUUGGAUAUUUCAUUGCAAAUAACUUUCAUGGUAUUGAUUUAGUGUCGAUGGAAACUGUUUUGCCGCAUUCGAUUCAUCAAGCACCCAGAAUCUUGGAGCCUCUACUGGUGUCAAUCCAACAUUGUUAGGUCAUGCAAGCAACCAAUUUUCAAAUGUUUUUUAUUGGUGGCCUCAUUAAACAAUGCCAUUAAAAUGACUCAAUAUGUAUUACCAUUUGAAUUCCACUAUCAUGUACUAACAUGACAACCAGUUUAAUAUCAAAUGAUGAGAUGUGAACACUGUUAACAUGCAUAUGUUCAUUAUAGUUAAAUUAUGUCUCGGCCAAGAAUACAUAACCAUGUCAUAAAUUUAAAGAUAAUUCUCCAUUACAAUUGAUUUUACAACCAUCGUAAGCAAGAAGACAAAAAAAUUCACGGUAUUACCUCCCAACAUGUUUCAAACAUCUUACAACAAAAAAUAGUAUGCAAUCACUUGCAUAAUCAUUCCCUACUAUAGUUCGAUAUCUAAGCGCGUGUUCUCGUGUUAACUUUCUUCUUCUUACGAAUGUUGCCGCUUUGUUGGUGAAAUGACUUUUGCACUUGAGAGGAUACAGGGUUCACCAUUACAGCAUGAAUCGCAAACUGUGCAUUGCUUAGUUCCAGCAAUUUAUCUCGAUUUUGAUUCAAUGCAGAAUUAAUUAGUUGAAUGGCUAGCCUACCUCGUGUAUCCUCAGAUGUGAACUAGUCAAUUUGAAAGGAAACCAAUAUUACUUUCAUAUAAUAAGUAGCUUUUAUAUAAUUAUGAAGUUAACAAAAUUCUGAGUUCAACAAUUAAACAAGUUUGGCAUAGUCGUACCAAAGUGGACGAUUUCUUCGGAAUAAAUUCUGGGCUGUCCAUAUAGUUUAUCACAUAAACCCCACAGUCAUAUCCAUUCCUUUGCUUUGGAACUCCAAUGCCCCGGUUGAUUGGAAAGUCUUGAAACUUCAUGUGUUGCAUAUUGCUUGGCAAUUGGGGCUGCAUAAUCCAAUCCAAGGAAUGUAGCUGUCGGCAAUGUUGAAAACCAGACAAUAUUAUAGAUAUGAAUAUAACACAAUAUACAUAACUGAUAAUGUUAAAUAGAUAACAAAAAUAAAGAACAUGAUUAAGAUACAAUGCGCAUGGCUUGAUCGUGCCGUCUUCUAUUACUGCGGGGAUCUGGAAGAGGAUCCCAUAUUUCUGCACUUGUAUUUCUGACAUUCACGAUCAGUAGGUACCAAUGAGAUGAUUCAUCAUUUAUUGGCACAUAAAUCUAACAUUUCAAUUGUCAAUGUCAUACACCAAGCACACUAGUAGAAACUGAAAUAAGUUAAAGGUUAACAAACUAACCUUUUGACACUUAUGCACCUGUUGCAUAAAAUUCUUUCCACAUCUAGCUGCCCUUGCAAAACAAUCCACCUCAUCUCCGACCAUUAAAACUGCUUGCUACACAUAAUAAAGACAACGUUGAAUAAGGAAGUUGUCAAUAAAGAAACCAAAGCACAAUGCAACAAGUACCGGCGAGACUCACAGAAUAUCUUGUUGGUAAAUACCAGUUCAUUGGCACAUCUUUCUCCACCACCUACUGAAUGAGGGUGAGGUGAUGCGCUUUCAUAGAAAUCACCUAAAAGUGAUCAUAUUUAUUGAGAUAUAUAAUAACAUGUAAUAAACGAUAAACAUAUAUUGUGACAUCACCAAAUGUUGAAACCUAAUACCUCGCCACAUAGAUAAGCCCCCGGCAAAAGAGUCAAUAAAGAAUGCCGAUUAAGAAUUUCGCCGCAACUAGAAACAAUGAUUUCACUAAAGAUAAAACACGGUAAUUUUUUAGUCGUAUAGCAUAACAACUAUAUACAGAAAACUAAUUUCAGUCUUCUGAAUUUAACCUUCCCUCUGCGUCCUUGUUAAAAGCAUAUUGAAUAAGCUUCAAUUCUUCCAGCGUAACUGGAUCAUUGACUUGAAACGGACCAGCUUUAUACUUGGGAUUUGCUCCCCUGGACACUUGAUCGUACGGUGAAAGUUGAUAUCGGCCUGGCCUACGAUUCCUACUUGGUCGCGUUGGCAGGACACUGAGACUAGUAGAUGUUUGAGGUUCUUGCUUAAGUUGAACUGGUUCAUCUAUAUCCUUUAUAAAAAAUAAAUUUAUAUGUAAGUUACUUCAUAAGUGAGUUAUCAUUGAAAUCAUUUUAAGAAAACGACGUUAUAAAACUGUACCUCAUCUCGGAGAUUAGGUGGUGGAAUAGGGACAAAGUGGGUAGGAUCUUUGCGAAAUUCACCGAUUCCUUCUCUUGUCCCCAUCCAGCCCAUUAAUUUAUCGAGGCUCAGGUUCAAUCUGCGAUCCACAGAGUCCUCGUCGCUAUCCAUUACCAUUUUGUUUUUUUCCAUCAGUAGUUGGCUCGGUUUUUCUGACUGGACAUGUUGGUUCUACUAUUUUCAAGCUCGGAGAUUGCGGGCAUGGAUCAGAUGGUUGUUUUGAUAGUGCACCAACCGGAGACUUGGAUCUCAAUUCCUCCAAAGACUUCUCAACCAUUUCCAUUCUCACAUUGAAUGAAUCCAUUUUGUGUUCAAUUCUGUGGACACACUGUGUUAGUACCCUAAAAGCUUCCUCCAUAUUAACAGUGCUCGGCCCAACAUCUUCGGUUUGUUCAAAAUGAGCGAAAUUUCUUUCGAGCUGCAGAAAAUUUGAUUCACGCAUUGGAACCUAAAAUAAAUAUGCACAACAAUCAUACAUAAUGACAAUCAAAAUAUAUUCAAUUAACCGUAAACAAAAUUAAAUACAUGUGUGAACAAGACAAAAAAUAAAACAAACCUCAGUACUGGUCAUGUCCCCAAACUUUUUCCGCCAAUUCAAUAAGCGCCGAAUCUCUUCCUUGGUCCAUACACUAACAGGGCAAACUGUUCUGUCCAUGGAACACCGAUCAUAUAAAACAGCACUAAAGUAGAACAACUGUACAUUCAAAAAACAAUUACUACGUCAUUUUAUUUUUCGUAUUUGGAAAAUUAAUUAUGGCAUCUAAGAUUUCUUAAAUAUACCUCUAAAAACACAACACAACCACUAACUGACUUCACUUGAUUAUCUUUAUACUUCGCUAUGCCCUCCCACAGAAAGUUGAAACACCAUGUAGCCCAAUUCUUUUUCCUAAUUAAUUGCACAUCUUUUAGGGAAUGCAGAUACAUCGGAUUGAUGUAGCUGGCACUUGUGGGACACAAUACAGUUCCUAGAAGAAACAAACAAAACAUGAUCUUAAAGUCAUCAUCACUACUCUCACUAGCUAUUAUUCUUUCACUAACUGCGGCUAUUUCAAUUCCUCUUCCACUUGUUCUAUACUUGGCACGCAGUUCAAUUAUAUCACCCGCUUCUUCUCGGAUGUAUACUGGUUCCCCUCCAUCUUUGAUCCCCAUUACGAUGCUGAAGGUUGUAGGGUUUAAACAAAACUCUCUCUCGUGCAAAACUAUACAGUGCCUCUUUGUAUCACAUUGUUGGACAAGUGUUUCACAGAAGUCUUGUCUCAGGCGACCACAUCGUAAUUCUAGCAUGCUUCCGAAGCUAAUUUCUCUAAUUGCAGCUUGUUGGUCGGCCGAUAGUGUGGAAAUGACCUUAGUGAGUGCACUGACACGACAACGAGAUAAAUUACAUUGGCUAUGCUUAUCCCCAAUUUUUUGUUCUUCAUCUUGUUUUUCAAUACUCCUUUCACCAACAUUUGAACUUGGGUCCUCAUGCAUCGUACCAAAUCGGCACUUCUCCUCAUUCGUUAAUUUCUUCCAUUUUUCAACAAUUGUCGCCCUACAAACUUUUUUGAUCCCUUCUUGCCUGACCUUUUCUGCUUCAUGCUUACUGUACACAACAUUUUAGUUCAACUAAUUACGUCAACAAAAUUGUUAUAAUAAGAACCUUAUUCAAAGCAAUAAUUUUAUACUUACAAAAAGUGUAUCCACGCUCUCUGACCAGGUCCUCCCCUUCUGCCUUAUGUGGACUCCAUUUUAUAACUGUAUGCUAUAUUUUAAAUCCUGAAAUAGACCACACAUAAAUGUAGUAUCAAGGCCGGACCCAUAACAAUGGCUAAGUUCUUGGCAAAUUAUUGAGCGCUCAUCUUUAGUAUUCCUACCAAAGACUGUAGAGCUCAAAACAAGCAAACAACACCUAAAACCAAACAAGAAAAAUUUAGGGUUCCCAUAGAAAAAUAACACUUAAAAACCAAAUCUCAAAAAAUCAACCACAAAAUAGAAAUAAAUUAAAAAAUGCCAUUGAAUUUUUACCAACUAAUGCCAUUGAAACCACGCAAAACCAUGGGAACAUUGCAUCCCCUUCUAAAUAUCUUUCUUCAAUUUAAUGCUUGAAUUACAGUACAUCAAUCAUAUCAGGAUUGAGGAUUUUCUUGCCAAUUUCAUGCUUCCAAGCCAUUAAUCAUCUCUUCAACAUCAAUUUUUCAUCAUCUAAAUAUCUUUUUUCACUCUAAAUUACCAAACUUCUAAUUGUUUCAAAUCUCUAAUUAUUUCACACAAAAUUUAUAGUACAUCACAAAAACCACAAAGGUCAAAAUUACCUCAUCACCUUCUCGUUAACUCACAAAAUGAAAAGGAAAGAGAGGAACUUGUGUUCAUCUUCAACACCUCAGGAUGACAGCGACCGCUUCAUGGAUUCCACUUCUUAUUUGCUUUGAACGAGAUGGUGCCUUUGAUCUUCUAUGAUUACUAAACAAAUAGAAGAGAGAAAUUUGAGAGAAAUUUGUGAUUUCAAAGUGAGAUGUGAGAGAUUGGGAAUGGCCUGGGUGAAACCCUCAAAAAGCAAAAUUUUGUUUUGCAAGCUUUGGGAACCGGUUUAAUAAGUUAACAAUUUUUUCCUCUUUUUUAUUUCUUUUCAAUCUCAGCCGUUGGAUUCAUUUUACUUGAAUCCAACGGCUGCGUUUACAAGCCGGCACAAUGCCGGGCCUCAAUGCCCGGCAUUGUAGCUUUAGCCAAGUUUAGUUUACAAUUACACCGGUGUCAAAUCAGCAGAGCAUCGGCAAGAGUUUUCGAUUGUUGCAAUUUGCAAUGCAUGUGGUACAUGCACGCACUAAUAAAGAAACACAAAAAGUGCAUUCUCAAGCCAAUAGUAUUUGUUUUUAAUCGCUACUUUGCAUAAUAAUGUAGCUUAGUUAGGAAAUUUGUAAUUAUAUUAUGCGUCCGUUUGGUAUAACUUUUUAAUUAGAACUUAUUUAAGGAGAACUAUUGUUUGUAGAGUUUUUAUAAAUAGAAAUUUUAAUUAAAAAAAAUUAUAAUUAUUUAGUUGUCAAUGUCCAAAUUGAUGAACUAUUGUUCUUUUUGUUAACAUGUGUUUGUUUUACUUAAUAAUAAAACUUUAGUUUACAAUUACACCGGUGUCAAUUAUACUAAUAGCAUCGGCAAGAGUUUUCGAUUGUUGCAAUUUGCAAUGCACGCGGUGAGAGAAAAUGAGAAUCUUGUUUAAUCCUUUCAUUAGGAGUAAUUUAAUAAUCGUUUGUUAUAAUAGAAUAUGUAUAAAGAAAGGAAAAUUAUAUUCAUAGAUUUGGCUUAUUUUUUGUUUAAAGUAAUUCAGAUCAUUACAACGUCCUUUUCGCUAAUUAAUUACAACGUCCUUUUCGCUAAUUAAUUAUGAUUAUAUACAUUUUCAUAUGGCAAGUGGCAUUGUAGAUCUAAACGACGUUGCUAUUUCAAUACGUUAAUUAAGUGAUUCUCCUGAUUGUCAUCAGCGCUAUACCCUCUAGGAAAAUAGCUCAAUUGUUUUCCUGCAUUGAUUUUCAUUGGUAUGUGAUUUCUUAUGAAAUUCUUUUGAGCUUUCCUUAGUUAAAAAGCUUGAGCUUUUAUCACCUAAUACUGAUAUCAAUUAACUUGUGAACGAUUUUAUACCCUCUCUUUUUUUUCUUUUUUUUUAAGUACUCUGUUGAAAGCCAAAGUUCCUUUGGCCAGUUAAUUUAGAAGUGAAGGAAAGAAUAAAGUUAGGCCUCGACGUCUUUUGAGAUUAGAAAUACAUUUUGAAUGCUUUAAUAGAUGCAGAGCAAACUGGCUCGAUAUCUAACUAUUUUAAGAGCUAAAAUCAUUUAUUAGAAGUUGUAGCAUUAAAAAAAAUGGGCUUGAUAUCCAAUUUUGUUAUUGAAUAUGUCUCACGUGUUACUGGCAGAUGGCUAUGCUAGGUUUUAUUGCUCCUUGAAUUUGAUUGAAAAAUUAUUGAGGCGGACAAGUUUGGACCAUUGUUGGACACUGAAACUACACAUCAGUCUUAGAAAAUUGUAAUUUUGUUGGCUUAUCAUGAUUUUGAUCGCCUCACAUUGAUUUUCCUAUGACGUCUCUGUAGAGUGGCUAUGCUUACAUUUUUAGGUAUUUAAUUCUAAAAAUUAACUUAUUAGAUGGAAGGACCAAUUCUACCUGUAAAUACAAGUGGCUUCCCUUUACCAACUCAUACAAGACACAACAAUAAUCUUCUUCAGAAAAAACCACCGUCGGAGGGCUAUUUUCGUUCAACAUAAAUGAGUUGUUCCGCCACCAUAUUUUAAGGGUUUGCUUCUAAUACAACUUGGGGGAGCUAGGGCUAAGAUUUCUAAGAAUCAACAUAAAAACCUUGCCUAUUGGAUGGAAGGACCAAUCCCACUUAUGAGUCUAAAUGACUAAUUUUUGAGGACACAACUCAACAGACCAAUAUAAACUUUUGACGUCCCAUUUUAUUACUUUCCUGUGUUUUUACUUUUGAUGCUGUCUAUAGCCCUACUAUUCUAUUAAGCAGAAAAUAUUUCAAGGCACUCUCGGUCCAGUAGAUAACUUUGGUAUUUAUUAUCUAUUUUCUUUCCAUUUUAUGUAAACCCCGAUCUUUACCUCUGAUUGGUUGUAGAUUCUUUUGUUGCUUUGGGGUUAGGGGAUGGUUUUCAUAACUAUUAAGUUGAUCAAUGCAGAAAAUCACCAUCAAGAAAUGAUAAAGGAUUGUUAGUUCUAUCUGACAAACAACAUUAAUAUGAAGGAUGAUGAUUGUUCUGUUCAAGAGUUUAUAAUGACAUAAUUCUACUUUGGUCUUUUAAAAAAAGUAAUUUAGAAACGAGUAUGUGAGUGAUGACUUUUACAAAAUAAAUUACAUGCGCAGUGAUGAUUUUGACACAUGAAAAUGAAAAAAGAAAUAUAACUUGUGAAUAAUAAUUGAAGUACCUGCUAUUGUUAUAUUGGGUAUUGAUAAAUGGAUGGUUUUGGAAGAAUUGAAAAUGAUGGCAUAAGUAAACCGAAGUUAAGAGAAAAGAGAAAGAGCAUUUGAACUUUACUAGUAAGUAAAGGCAAAUUUCUUGGUUCAAGAAAAGAUAAGAGAUAUCAAACUAGCAAUAGGAAAAAGGAGGAAGGUUAAGACAGCAUCUUAACAAAAGCUAAAGAAAAGAAAAACUUAGUUCAAGCAAAGAACAAUGUGCUAAUGUCGUGUAAUCUUGUUUAAUUUCUUUUUCUUCUCACAUUUUCCAGGGCUUAAAUAAUACAAUAUACAUUUUCAAGCAAAGAACAAUAUGCAAUUGCAGUACUUCUGAGCACACAACAACAAAUAAAUAGUACAAUAUACAUACCCACUAAAUUAAAAAAAAAAUAUUAUUCAAGUUUGUGGACAAUACUGUAGCCAUGCCGUCGUCGAAAUCUACUGACAGCUGAAACAAAGAAAGAAUGGAUGAAUGCUGGAUCACAGUUGAAAUUGAAGGUCUGGUAGGUGAUGUUUCCCUCUCUGAUUUUACCUAAACAAAUACAAAAAAAUAAGAAUCACAAAUGAAAAUCUGCUAUUACACUGUUCUUACUUAUUAAAAUACAGAGGUUUCUUUGUUUCUCUGCAGCAAUGUCCAUGGCUAUUAGAAACAAGAACAAUUAGACCAGCAUUUGCAAGAAUCCUUUAAGGUAUUACUGCAGAUAUAAAUCCACUGAGGAAAUGGAAAAAGUGAAUACCAAAUUAGGCAAGUUAAAUGAAGAUUGAGUUAUCAUAGAAGAAUAAAACUCAUCCAAUUCAAUCCAUCAAAUUCCAUAAGGAUACAACUGGAUGUCAUACUGCUGCUCCAUAUCCUCAAGAGCCCGUAGAUUUUGCCUCAACUCUGGCUGAGGCCAAUGUAAGUCCAAUUUGCAAAAGCUCUUUAUGCACCAUAGCUCUUCAGGAAGCUUUCUCAAGUAAGCACAAGGGUUGACAAUUAUGCUCCCAAGUUUUGGCAUUGCUCCAGCCCCUAUCGUCCACUCCUCUAGCCAACAAAUUGAUUUCAGGUGCAAUACUUUGAGCUCCGGGAAACCACAAGAGCAAACACAAGCCAGUUUUCUUCCUGAAUAUGAGUUCUGCUUCAAUUUCAGCACUUGAAGGUGUGGAAGCUUGUCUAGUGUUAGCAUGGUAUCCGCCAAUAACUCAGUAUUUGAUAAGCUUAGUUGGAUCAGACUUGGAGAAGCUGGUAUUUAGACAGGGCCAUCCGAGAGAGCUACCACCUCUUGGUUUCGUUCACCAGCUUCAAGCAUUCAAGUUUGUGUAGUUCGCAUAGGCUUUUGGAAACCCCAGAACGAUAAUAACUCAAACCUCCAGAUACUAAGAGUUUGAAAAUGAGGUAGUCUGCCUGUUAAAGUAGCUCACUAUGCUGAACGAAAGAAGGAGAAAGCUAAGCUGAAGAAAAUACAGGGCAAGAGUAUUAGCUGUGCCAGCUCAACUGACAGCUCAGCAAAAUCAGUUAAAUUUUGUUACAAGCCCCCUGUGCAUUGUGCUGAAGAUUAGUUAGUUUAAUAAUGAUUAGUUUUAGAUUAGUUAAAAUGUAAUCAUGAUUAAGAUAUAUAUAUAUAUAUAUAUAUAUAUAUAUAGAUAUAGAUAUAUAUAUAGCUGCUGUACUGAUAGGGCAUCUCAAAAGUUCUGAAAUAAUACCUCAAUUCUAUGGCAAAAAUAAAUAAUCUCAAACAAGAACCAAUAAUCAUAUUUUGUUACUGUCAAACACAAUGCAUAUGAGCAAAACAUUGGAAGCCAACACCAGAAUACAUAUGAAUAAACAAUUAAAGAUAGAGAAAAAAGGCUUAAACCUUGGGGGAAAAAAGUGAAAAAACAUGAAAGACAAAUUACACAUGUGCAGUAACCAUCGAACUUAUCAGUGACAGCUGCAUCCAUUACAUUGCUCCAACAACACAAUGGCAAACCACCAGUUUCAAAUUGAGGAUAGCUAUCGAGAAUGAGAAAGUGUCCAAAACAUCAUAAAUAGACAUGUUCCUAUUGUGCAUAAUUUACAUUAUAGGCAAAUAUUCUUAUACCAUCAAAGGCAAAACAUGACACUAACAAUUGAUCCCCCCCCCCCCCCCCCCCCCCCCCCCCCCAACAAAAAAAAAGGAAAAAACAAUACAGAAAAGAUUGAAACAGAUAAGGCUACACUGAGCACAGGAUGCCAUGAAACAUAAUCCAGGAACCAAAUUAAUAAAGAAGGAAGGCAAACCAUUAUUUAACAAUCUGUUUUGUAUUUGGGAAAGUCCGAUAAAAUCUACUUAGGGAUAAUUAGAGAACCUCAACUAUUAAUCACACCUCAUAAAUGAACUAACAUUAACCAUGUACCAUCCCCACAUCAGACAAACAUUCUCUAUACUUCUGAACCUAAUACUUCCAUCUUCAAUUGGGGUUUUUUUUUGUGGGGGGGGGGGGGGAUAAGCUAUCGUGUUUCUAAGCUUGCUUACCUUCUGUGUGGGACUGAAAUACUGAUUUCGAAUCAUUAACAGUAAAAUUGGAAGCUCAUGAAAAAACAAUUUUAUCUUUUAACAAAAGUUAAAAUUACAUCUCCAUAUAAAUUCUCUUUUCAUUUCCUUCAAUUUUCUAAUUAAGCUUAAAAAAAUGUACCUUCAACCACAAAGGGGUUUAAAAUUUAAAAUAUAUAAAAAAAUAAAUUCAGAUAACAAUAAUUAAUUUAAUUAAAAAUAUAAAUAGAGAUUACAGAGAAAGAGAAAAUAGAGAAAGACCUAAUGUUGAGUCCUUUGGUUCUCUUCAUAGGUCCGAACCAUUUCUUCGGGCGUGGGUUUCGGGUCUUUAGGAAACUCCAUCGUCAUAAGCCAGUGAUUGUAAUCGCAACCCUCCAACAGAAUCGUGUCGGGUGU